Molecule: long non-coding RNA, 47271 nt
Filed under: Sorghum bicolor (sorghum)
Lineage: Eukaryota; Viridiplantae; Streptophyta; Magnoliopsida; Poales; Poaceae
Description: long non-coding RNA (SBIC_LNC012188)
Rfam family: Plant small nucleolar RNA R71 (bases 3681-3787)
Source: RNAcentral
CAAGACAUGUAUUGUAUAGUCAAACCAUGGAUCCAAAGAAACAAAUCAAUAAGUCAAAUAGAUGUGCAUGUGUGGCGAAUGGAUGGUGUAUGGUGAUGAUGGUGAUAACAAUGGUGAAAGUCUAAUUCUACUUUUGCUCUUUUGAGGGGAUACAUACUUUUCUUGCUUUUUGAAACUUUGUGAGGAGAAUGAGAUGCUCUAUAUUUUCUUUUCUCUCAGGUGGGUAUCUUGUACCCCUAAUUCUACUGUCGGACACUUGUCCAUUUUUAGCUCUCGUCUCACUUUUUCUUUUCUUUCGAGGUUCUGGGCACUUGCCCUUUUUUUAUUUCCUCGUAUCUCUUUUUUUAGAGUACUCAUCUCUUGAGAUAAUAUAGCAAGUGGUAGUAACAAGAUAACUUGAGCAUUCAUUUCACAUGGGAAAACAGAAAAGUUUUUGGCUAUUCUCUCCCAGAUUAGGAGUAGAAUAUUUUUGGGUGGUUCUGGAGAUGGAAAUAGAUGGAUAUAUGUGGAUGGUACUUCUGGAGUAAAAGUAGCAUAUGUGAGUGAACGUGCAAGUGAAUCUUGAUUUAACCACAUGACAAGCUCCUAAGGGUCUACACAGCUUGACCACACUCAAUGCUCAUAAGUAGUAAAAAGUAAAUGUAUGGCUCAAAGUCUAGCAAGCAUGUAUAUAUGGCUGUGGUAGGAAUUUAAACUCUCAUCAUACAAGAACUCAUCAUGCAAUAUUUUAAAGAUUUUAAAGAUAAAAUUCUCCAGAAUUCUAGCAUCACUAGGAACAGAUAAACAGCAGCUCAACCUUUCCAUAUCGUAUCCGUUAACAACUUAGACUUCAGAUCAAGUUUUUCUUCCCACAAGUUUAGGUUUAGAGCAAGCUUUAAAUUAUAACAGUUAUGUCUAAACUUGAGAGAUAACUUGACAUUUUUAAAAUUAGGCAAAGCAACUAUUCAUCAUAUCCAUGCUAGAGUUUUAUUAUUAAGAUUCAGAUUAGCAUAGCUACUUUAUUUAUUUAUUAAACACACUAAGCAAAAGAUGUAUAUAUAUAUAAGCACAAAAUCUUUAUUUGGUUUUCCAUAGUUAUGUAUAUUUAUAUUUUUUUAAUAUAGUAUAAGUAUAAAGAUAGAUAGAAAUACUUAUCGGGAUAAAUGGGGGUGCUCUCCCCCAAGCUGAAUUUUGACGUAAUUUCUUUUGAUGUAGCUAGCAGGUGGCAGAGGCGUGUUUGAAAGUCGGUAGUAUCUUGAUAGUGAUUAGAAUGUCCUCCGUCUGCUAGUCUUCUCGAUUCUUAAAUUCUGAGGAGCUCAAAUAGACAACAAAGCUUUGUGGAACUAGUUAAGUGUUAGCAUAAAUAUCUAGCCUUUAUCAUGUUGAGACUCCUCAAUAAAUAUUACAUUCUAUUUUUAUAUUUUCAUUUUAUAAAGCAGAAAAAAUAUUUAUUUUAUUUUUAUGCCACCACAGUGAAUGUACUUAUGGGUUUUAUGCCACUCGUAUACUAACAUGGGGCUUACUAUUUUUCAUAUAUUUAUUUUCUUUUUAGGAUUGUAUGAACCUGAUUAACUAAGCAAACUAUUUUAAAUAAUUGAAAUGGAAAGGAUAACUACCAAUUUUACUCUUGGCAAGGCGUUCGGUGUUUUUAAGUCCUCCGAACGGGACUGUCCGUUUUCUCAAUUGUCCUAGGAUUCGUUGGGUGGCGUAAUCGGUACUUCCGGCGGCGCCUCCUCUUCAUGUCUAUUUAUCUUCUCUUUCCAUACCUGACUUGGUGCUACGGUCUCCUCAGGAUAAUUCUGUUUAAACUGUAUGUCUUUAGACUUUAUCACUUCUCCUUCAUAGUCUGCCCAUCCGUCCUUGAUGAUUUCCCUUCUCUGGUUGAGGUUGCAUCAUUUUGUGACCUGCUUAGAGUCUUCAACGAUAUAGUUAGGGUCAGUAAAAUAGCGGCGUACCUUCUCUGAGGGGAAGUGCAUAUGGACUUCUCCGGUUCCAAUGUAGAUGAUUGCCUUAACAGUGCUGAGGAACGGCUUCCCAGGAUGAUGGGUGGAUCGUAUUCGUCUUCUCCCAUGUCAAAAACCUGAAAGUCUGUGUAGACAAAAUGAUCGUCUAUUUUCACAGGGACAUCAAUUACUGUUCCUUUAACCUCUCGAAAUGUCUGAUCUGCCAUCUGGAGUUGAAUGUAUGUUGGUUUUAAGGGCAUGGUUCCGAACAAGAGCCGAUAGGUUACUGCGGCCAUUAUGUUGACGCCCGAUCCGGUGUCGCAAGUCGUCUUGUAGAAGUUGUAUCCAUUUACGGAGCAAUAGAUGCUUGGCAUUCCUGGGUCAUCCUUCUUGGUCAAAAACGGUGACUUAAGUUGAUGAUCUUGGCCUCCAUGAACUGCAGUGACCAUCUUAGCUGACUCGGUCCAUACUUGCUUUUUCCUGUUCCUCCUGUUGGUCCUCUUCCUUGGUUCACGUCUGGAUUGAUCUGGGAUUUGCGUAGUCUUGUUCUUGAAGGAAAAUGUCUCCUUUCUCCCUUUGAUGUAGAAACUGAUCUUGGCAGCACUAGCGUAGAUGACAGCUCCCGAGGUGUUCAAGAAUGGCCUCCCUAAGAUGAUGGGUGCCCUCUCAUCAUUACCGGUCUCUAUCACCACGAUGUCUACUGGGGCGUAUAAGGUACCAACUCGGACACAAAGGUUCUUCAAUAUUCCUUUUGGAAAACUUAUCGUCUGAUGUGUAAACUGCAAAAUACAUGGUUGUUUCUGAUAAAGGAUAUGUAAAGAAUUUUUCAUAGAAUACCCUGGGCAUAAUGUUGACACUAGAGCCGAAGUCGCAGAGUGCUUCUGGGAAGUCCACCAUGCCGAUGGAGAUCGGGAUGACGGGGCAUUCUAGAUCCCCUCUCUUGACCGACAGAAGGUCAGUAGUAACUUUAGUGACGGGGUUACUCCAAUUGCCUGCAACAAACAUGUCUAUAAGAAUUGCAGAUUCUAAUCCUUCCGGUUGUGAUGGUAUACCAGGGUUAGUAGUAGGAACAGCAGCAGCUAUUUGAUUUAACUAGGAUUCGAUCAUUUUAUUAAAGCUAAUUUGAUUCUUGAUGGCAGUAGAGAAAUUAUCCAUUCUAUUAUUUAUAUUUUCUAGCAUUUUAUCAUUAGAUGUCAAUUUCUUGGAUAAGUUAUCCACUGGCUUUCCUUGAUUAGACACUAACUCUCUCAGAGGUGGAAAAUUAUUAUUAUUGUUAUAAGAAUUGUUACCUUGAUAAUUACCUGAGUAGUUAGGCCUCUAUUGAUUCCAACCUUGAUUUUGUUGAGGACGGUUGUAGUAGUAGUUGCUAUUGUUGUUGAUGUAGUUCACAUCCUCAAGCAUCUCAGGGCAGUGAUUGCCUGAGUGUCCAGUAUCUCCACACUCCUCACAAGUCAUGUGAGAGUCGUAGAUGUGCAUAACUUCUUUCUUAUCUCUAGCUCUAUCAUCGAGCUUCUUCAUGAGGGGUCUAGCUUUGCAGACAGCAUGUCUACCUCCUUGAGCUGACGCAUACCUCCACCUCUCUUGCGUGUCUGGGUCCAUUCUUCAUUCCAGCUUUGGUUGGACGCCAUCUUCUCCACAAGAGCUAUGGCUUGUGAUAUGGUAAGUGAUAGGAAUGCCCCUCCAGCUGCAGCAUCCAUGGUUUCUCGGGCACUGUUGCCGAGCCCAUGAUAAAACGUCUGCAUCAGUAGCCAACUCUCCAUUCCAUGAUGGGGACAUUCUAGGAUGUAGUCUUGGAAGCGCUCCCAUGCUUCUGGAAUAGAUUCAUCAUGUUGUUGCUGAAAACUUGUAAUUUUCCCACAAAGAGCAUUGGUCUUGCCAUGGGAAAGAACUUAGCUAGGAAGUUUGUUGAGCAGAGUGCCCACGUAGUAUUCUUCUCCUUUGUAGCGUAGAACCACUGCUUUACUCUUCCUAAUAGUGAGAAUGAGAAGAGGCAAAGUAGUGUAACAUCUGUGGAAACUCCUGAUAUGGUGAAUGUGCUGCAAAUCUCUAGAAAGUGUUGGAGAUGAGCACUGGCAUCUUCGGGUGCCUUCCCACAGAACUGGUUGGAUUGCACCAUGUUGAUAAGUCCAGGCUUGAGCUCAAAGUUGCCAUCGAUCUCUGCAGCAGGUCCAAUGCGGAUGUUGUCCGUAGUGGGAGCUGAGAACUCACGGAUCGAUUUGUUCGCCAUGGCUUCGAACUCUAAAGACAAGUUCCGGUGAUCUUCUUGAUUGGAUGAAGCUUCUUGCUGAAGUGUUGAUGAUCUCUUCUUGAGCUUGGCUCUUGUUUUUCUGAAUAAUGCUUCGAAAUUGUCAACAAAAUUUCCUGGAAGAUGUCUUUUAUUCAUACAUUACCUGCAUAAGAUAAAAUAGAAAAAUAUCAGGGUAAAACUGUAUGAGAGAAUUGAUAAGCUCAAUCAUAUUAGAGAUGCGAAUGAUAACUCGAAAUCCUAUAUCCAUUCCUAAUUAGUAAUCAACAUUCCUUGGCAACGGUGCCAAAAAUGCUUGUUGGGUAUUGUUAUCAUCAUUACCAAAAGUAGACAGUUUUCUAAUUCUGAUAACGGUGCCAAAAAUGCCAAAUCUAUCCCUCAUGCCACUUAAGCCAAGUUGUCAUCCACAGCAUGACAUGAGAGACGCGAUAAUGAAAUAUGCAAUCUCUCUUCUAAAUAAAUAACAAAUAAGAUCUGCAAGCGCACAAAUUAAUACUGAUGUAGCAUUUUAACCGGGAAGUAUUUCGGGUAUCGUUAUUUAUAUUUUUACCACUGGGAAGGGAUUAGUAACCGUCAAUGUUGAUUAUAGAAUGGAAUAUGAGAUUGGGUAUCUAUCAUUGCAUGUAUAAUUGAGAACAUUUAUCUAACUCUUUCAUACAGGGGUAAGUGUCACAUAAAGGAUAUAUGAAGUAAUGAAUAGUGAGAAAGAUAAUUAAUCUGAUCAGCAUAACUUAGCCACAUAAUAAAUAUGAUAAGCACCUCAAUUAGAUAUUCUAGCAAGUCAUUAGCAUGGUAUUAGAACGAACUACAAGAAUAUUUCCUAAGUUAUUCUCAACUAUAUAGUCUAGCAUAUCAUAGUUAGUGCAAGCAUACUUAGCAAUCAUUGUGAGACAAGACUACGCCCAUGCAUAGUGAUAUUAGCAAGAAAUAUGAGAAACAUAGCAAUCACUCCCCUGUAAUAAUGUUGCUCUGCCAGCCUAAUACACGAGAGGGGGACUAUAUAAGAAUCAAUGAGCUGUCACUAUCCCGAACUACCCCACGAUCUGGCAUAUUGGGUACAAUCGCAGAUAAAUACGGUAUAAGCACCAUGCCUACACAAUAUCUAUCAUUUACCCAUGGAUCCGAUGGAUAAACGCUAUACGAUCCUAAAUGUAACACUCCUAGUGUUAGCUUGCAUGUUAACCAUGAGCAUUGCAUUAGCAUAAGCAUCAUCAUGAUCACUCAUGAGCAUUAUACCAUGAUCACAUGCCAUUUGCUUUAUGCACUACAUGAUUAAAUUGCUUGUGUGACUUGAAUUGGGUGACUAUAAGGGGUAGCCAAUGCAAACAAUUGUACAUUGUAUUCCAAAAUACCUCAAACAUGCUUAGAAUAUCUUUUGGAACAAAGUUCAUGUUGAAGGUUUUGGCGAAAAAUGUACCUAAGUCAUGGUUAGCCCUAGAAUGACCUUUUUGACCCUCCUAGACCUCUUUUCAAAGAUGUUUUAUGAAACUGGUGUUAGAGAUCUUGCAUGUCUUUGACACCUGAAACAAAGUUGUAGAGAAUUUCAUAAGCUACAAAAGUUAUGUUGAUGACUUUUUAUGAAAAAGCUUGGAACACUUUGAAAAGUUACUCACAAGCCAAAAAUCAGGGCUGAUUUCACACUUAGCCGAAUUUGGCUAAGUGUUGGAUCACGCAGUUUCGACCAAGGGUUGUUUGGAGCCAUGUAGUUUGAAAUUCAGACCGAGUUGGACUUUGAUCUUGUAACCAAAGUUGUAGAACUCGUGUAGCUCUGUCCAAAGGAACAAGUUUGAGCCAAAACCACCGAGUGAGCUGAGAGUAAAACGCCGGUGAACUUUGGGUUUCAGACACGGUCGACGACGACUGAAUCGUGCGAUUCAGUUUCGUCAGUCCGGCCGGCCGACGCGUGGAUGACCCGUGGCGGCCGUACGUCGACGGCGACCCCGCCUGUCAGCCCCGGCGCCUUCACUUGGACGCCACGACGCCACCCCGAGCCCCGGUCGUCCUCAUUUCGCCUCUCCAGCGCUCUCUCCCUUCUCCAUUUCGCCUCGGCGAGCUCCGCCGUGGAACGGCCGCGUCGCCCGAGCUCCUCUCGCCGUCUCCGGCCAAGCCAGCCUGCCAAAAGCUUCGCCAGAGCCUCCUCUACCUCGGCGUCACCCCCUUGGCCACUGUCGGGCACGGGUAAGGCGGCAUUGCCGAGCUCCGAGCAAUUCUUCCUCGCCGGGGUUCCGCUCGAGCUCACCGGCAACGUGGCCAGGCUUCUCUGCUCCAUCAUUUCCCUCCAUUCUUGUUCCUAUCGCUUCCCCUUGGUUCACUGAUGCUCGGCAUGACGCUCUACCGCGUCGUCAUUGCCUGGAUCCGCCGGCGUAUCGCCGCGCAGCGCCGCCGCUCCCUAGAGUCCAGUAGAGCGCGCGUAAAGUAGGUCAACAGAGUCGCCUUGAUGAGAGGAACACGUAGGUGCCCUUGGAUCCGGCCGAUACCUCGUCGUCGUUGAGCUUCGCUGGUGACGAGCAUCUCCCCUGCCUCUGUCUCACUGACGCGCGGGUCCCGGAUGUCAGCCUCUCUGUGUCACCCCCUCUGAUUCACUGUUGUGCAGAGCCAAAGCUGUUUUUGUAAAAUUCAUAUCUGGAGUUUUAGAGAUCCAAAUGUGGUGCUUCCAAUUUUGCUAGGUUCCAGCUCAAGCCUAGUUUUUAAUAAAAAUAUGAAACAUGCUAUGUUUUUGCAGAAAUAAAUAGAUAUAAAUUAAUCUUGGAUUUUCAGUGCGUAAUUAUAUCUUGAGAUCUAGUGAUCUGCUGGCCAUGCAAAUUUAGGGAGUUGUUACUUAUGUUAUGAGUAGGCUCUGAUAAAUUUUUCAUGAUUUUUGGAAGCCUACUUAGGAAGUUAAAAAUAAAUCUUGCUUAAAUAGGAGUUUCUUGUGAUAUUUUUAGUAAUUAAGUUAUAACUCCUUUUGUGAUGAAACUUGCUGAGUGUCAUACUUAUGGGCAGACAAAGCUAGGAAAAAUCUGAAAUCUGUUGUUUGGCACUUUUUGAUAGGGUUUCACAUUUAUGCCUUGCAUGCCUUUACUAGCUUGUUAUUUUUAUACCUCACAAUGUUUACGUGCAAAUGUUCUGAAAAUUUUACAGUGAUCUUAUGUUAGCAUAAGUAGCUUGCUGUAAUUUUCUUACGAUUUUUGGAACACUUGAAGUAUAUGUUCAUUAAAUCACCUUAAUAAUUAAAUAAAUAGAAAAAGUGAUGAUAGAAAUAGUUUUAGACCUUGCCAUGAUGUUUUCUGGUGUUCCUUAGAUAUGUUAUAUCUGUUGGUGCAAUUGGUUUAUCCCUGUGGUACAUUCUCAAUAUGUGCAAAAUAUUAUUUUAGCUAUUAUUGCCUUUCCUAGAGCAUUUCUGUACAGCUGAUAGCAAAUGAUUGAGAACUACUUGAAGAUGGCGUUUUUUGGGAAACUUGUCUACAACAAACUUGUAGCUAACUUACUGGUCUACUUUGUGUCCAAAUUUCAUGACAAUUGGUUAAGUAUUUUGAAAGUUAUGCAUAUUUCAAGUAGCUGCUGUAAAGUGCUUGCUCUCUGGAAUUCCCAGAGCAGUCAGCCAACUUUGUAUGUUUAGCAUAUUUCGGUUGGGAAUCAUGCUGAGAUGUCAAGAAAUGAAUUAUAGAUAAUUUGCUAAGCUUUCCAGAAAGUACUUACUUGCUUAGUUUGGUUAACUGAUGCUUAAGUUAUGGCUAAAACUUGUGACUGGUUGGCUUGUCUACUAAACCAGUGGCUGAGUAGGAAUAACUAGAAUUUGUUUAACUUGUCCAAUUAGUCUCUCUACCAGAGAAGAAGUAUGCACUGGCUUGUUAUUCUAUGAUUCACUUAAUCUUAGAAGUUUACACUCAUGUUAUACCUUGUCUUAUGUCUUUUUGGCUCCUCAUCAUGAUAUCAUGCAUCAUAUGUGCAUUCUCUAUAUUCAUCUCCUUGUCAUGCAUCCAUAGGUGUACCCAAGGGUGUGACGGUACUGGAGUACGAGUUGCCGGAGCCGGAAGGACAGCAAGGGGAACUACCUCAAGGAGUUGAGGAGGAGGACUUGCCGGAGUCCCUGACCAUCGUCCCUCUACUUACGUUGAAGGCAAGCCCCGGAGCAUUAUAAGCCUCCUACUAUUUUAGUAUCACAAUCAGCUAUCAAAUGACUAUGGUUAUAUAUUGUUGCAUUAAGUGGUAGGCGUUGAUAUGACACCCUUGCUGCAUAAUAACUACCUUGUCCACCUUAAACAUUACCGAAGUAGGUCCAGGAUCGAAGUGAUGCUUAGCCAUGCUUAGCUCGGUAGAAGCCAGGUGAUUUCCUGUCACCUGCGAGAGUUAGGUGGAUGAUGAUCACGGUGGGCUAUAUUUGCUAUCGUGGAGAUAACCAGGUGGUAAAAAUGAACUUGAGACUGGGCGGGAUGACGAUAGCACAGCAACAAGGCAUGGAGGUCUUGGGUGUGAAUCUAUCCCCGUCUGUGUCGUUUAAGGACCGAAUCGCUGUACGUCCCCGUGUCAUGUUGAACGCAUGCCUAUCACUUAGUUGGCCGGAUAAGUCGUUCCGACCGCGAAGCCUACGAGUGCAACUCAGGCCGGAUACCCCAUUCUGUAUGAGUGCGCACCCCGGUUGGUAGCAAGGAUGUGCGGGGAGUCAAUGGCGUAAGACCGAGGUGUCAGGUUAGAGUCCUGACCCUGGCAGAUUGGCGGUCCCUGGGGGUGCGGCGCUGGACGGACCCGCGAAUUGGUCCGGAGUUGUGCUAAAGGUGCUCCGAGCUGCCGUCAUGAAGUAUGCUUGGGUGAGUGUUAGGAAUACCCCUCCAGCUGGAUAGGAAUCGAUUCGAAUCGCCGUCUCCCGGAUAGUGAGAACUUGACUUGGGCAGCGGCAACGUAGAACUCACUAAGCAAACAUAAUGGUUAUGGUGAGAAUGUUGAUAGCAAAGUGAUAAUCCUGAUAUGGUUAUUAUUGAAUUGAUUAAUUACUCAAGUGUAUGCUUAGAACAGGUGCUAAUCUAGUGGAUAGCUGCUAAGUAAUGAACUUGCUGCUGAAAUAUGAAUAAAUGAAUUACUUAUAACAAAGGCUUUUAUGCAAAAAGUGAUUCAAACCAGUCCACUAAGAUCAGCCUUGCAUACUCCUUGGUGUCACUUUAUUUCUGGUUUAUGACGGGUAAGUCUAGCUGAGUACAUUCUCGUACUCAGGGUUUUAUUUACCCCUGUUGCAGAUGAUGUCGUCUAUCACGGCUAUUGCGCUGUCAUCACCCAGCUGCGGAUGAUGAAUAGAUCAUGGGCGUGAUCGCUCUUCUACCUUCAGUUAUACUUUUGUGGGGAUUGACCAUGGAACUGGCAUGUAUUAUAAACUGGGUUGUUGUUGUUUCAAAACUACUUUGUUUCCGCUACUGCUAUGGUUUGUAAUAACCUGAUUCAACUCUGAUGUGAUGUAAAACUAUGUUAUGUGUUGAAUGUUGUAAUCUGUGAUGGUGAUGCUUGAUCAUGUACGAUCUUGGUUGUAUGAUGGUUGAAUCGAGGUCUUUUGAGAUUUCGUCGGACUACCGGGUUUAUAUGGGUUCAAGUCCAUUGGCUUGACUGCCUCAGUGGUCGCUAAUUCACUUGAAUUCUUAUAAAUUGGACGGUUCUGUUACAGCUGGCAUCAGAGCAAGAUUAAGCAUAUAACCAUCAUAGAUGUAUUUGAAAACAAAUGAAUUUGGUUUUCUCAAACUAAUUUGGCAAAUUAGGUUAUAAAUAGGGUUGUUUUAAAAAGGUUUUGAUAACUUAUACCAUGCCAGUGGUCAUGCCCUUUAUGCCCAUAUAAGGACUUCUAGGUGGCUUAUCAUUACUAACAUGGGGGUUUUCCUUUCGUCGUCCAUAUGGCGUGCAAUUAUAUGGAUACCGCUUACUUAAGUGGUAAUGAAUGGAUCACAUACCUCUACGCCAUGGUAAGCAUUGUUUGUUUUCUUUCGUCGUCCAUACGGCGUGAAAUUGUAUGGAUGCCACUUGCUUGAGUGGUAAUGUAUGUAUCUAUAUGACUCUACGCUACGGUAAGUGUGAGCUGUGAGAGCAUGACCGUCCAACCGUCGGUCUAGGGGAGUGUUAGCUGUGGUUACUAGAAUAUUUACAUGUUUCACACACAUGUAUAUAUGAAGGUACUUAAUUGUGGGUAGUAGGUGCAGCCAUGUGUACAUAUUUGAUGUAUAUGUGGGUGUAUCCCAAAUGGGUAGUGUGCUGCGGUAUAUGUUCGGGAAUAUAUACUGGGGUACCUAGCUUGAUUGAUGGUUGAUUGGAUUUACAUUUCUGCACUUAUACUACUGUGGGGCUGGGCUGAAAUGAAAUCUUCUGCAGGUACACUAACAACGAAACGUGUAGACCGAGUAGUUGCGUAUAAAGAGUGCACGUAUGUAUGCCACCGACUAUACCGUUAGAACUUUCUUCUAAGUUUGGAAAGGGCGUAUGGAACGUGCAUGCAUCAUGAAUCAUUCAUACAUUCUUUAUGCAAUACUAGGGUAUUUAAUUCUGAAAAUAUGAUUCUUUAUCUCUCCUUAUAAUUAAUCUCCCUUACUCAAAUGUGGUCUUUCUACAGAUGGCAGCCCCGCACGCGAGUGAGACUUUCCUGGACAUGUUUGGCACUCCUACAUUGUUGUGGAGGGUGCUAAGUUCAGUUGGAUAUGAGGAACCACCUAAGUACACUUGGACCGAGGCUGAGCAUGCAGGGGCCUUACCUUGGGUAGAUGUCCAAAUUACAGUUCCCCCCUGUCCAAAUAACCCACAGUGGCUAGGUUGGUUAGUUGACUGUGAUGGCCAAACUCCUUGGGAGGGUGCCCAAGUGGCAGCCCUGGAGGUUUUGCUAGAGAUUUGCCAAGAGCAUGGUGAUGAGCUAGUGAAUGGCCCAGCGGGAUCCGUUCCCAGAGUGAGUAUGACUGACACAUUUGUGUCCCAGGUUGGGAAUGAGUCUUUAGAAAUGAGAGAAACCUUGCUAGGGUAUAGUUCUAGCCCUGCCAUGAGUGCCAUGCUAGCGGUACUUAAGCUGUACUAUGUACGCCAGGACACCUACAUAGAUGCCAUGCUAGCGCUUCAACAAGCACAAGUUGGGCAGCGCAAACUACGCAAGCGUGUGCGCAAGCACUGCAAGGCUUUUAUGGAUGCACAAGCUGAAAUCCAAAACUAUCACACCGCCUUGCAAGCCCGCCGCAACCAAGUUGAGAAUGCAGUUAGAGAGCGCAAUGAGGCACAAGCCCGCAUGAUGCAAAUGACUAGAGAGAGAGAUGAGGCUAUGCGCUUGGCUGAAAAUAGAGAAGCUGCUAGAGUUAGAGCCUUGUUCCAUGCUGAAAUGAGAGAGGAAGAGCUGAUUACUAGGAUUGCUGAGCUGCAGUUGGAUGUCCAUCGCUUAAAUAAUAUUAUAAAUCCUAUCCCACAACCAGCCCCUUUUAAUCAUGAAGAAGCUCCUAGUGUGGAAGAUCAGCAUGAUGGCAUCAUUUCUAAUGGAGAGUCUGAUGAAGAUAUGUAGCCUAGCAAUAAUUCUAUGAUCAUGUGUCAAUUUCCAUCUCUUUAUGUAAUGGACAUGUAAUCUGAAUUUUAGUUAAGACUCUAUGUAUUUGGCCAUGGUGCCCCUCCUGUAAAACUUAAGUGUGGCAAUGCCUCUAUGUAACCUUAUGCACUUAUUUGUGAUGCUCCAUGUUUAUGUUGAGCUGAAAUGAAUCUCUGCAAUGUCGUUAAUCCUUGAAAAAUUGUGGCUGUGAAUGAUCGCGAGAAUAACCAAGUGUCAUGGAAGAUAUUUUCUUAUUGUACAUGGAUUAUUGUGCCUUGAAUUAUGUGAAAUUACUUCAUUAAAUUCCGUAUGGCAGCAAUUGAAGUUCAUGACAAUUAUAUCUGUUGCCUAAAACAAUCGCUUGGUAUGCCUUGUGCAGAUGGCUCGCAAUACUCGCUCCGGUCACAACGAGGUGCCGCAACCACCACCUCCUCCCCCGCCUACGCCUACUGAGCUAUUGGCAGCUCUUGUUGAGGGCCAGCGUAUGCUCAAUGAGGCCAUGCAAACUAUGGCGCAACAGAACCGGGGUGGUCGCCAUGUCCGCCAAGACGGAGAGGCAAAUCAGUACAGCAGUUUCAAGGAUUUCCAGGACACCAAGCCGCCACUGUUCAAGGAGGUUGUUGAACCUCUAGAAGCUGAUGAGUGGCUUAACACUCUUGAACAGAAAUUCCGUUUGCUAAGGUUAACCGAAGAGCUAAAGGCGGAAUAUGCAGCCCACCAGUUGGAGGGCAAAGCGGGUGUUUGGUGGAGUCAUUACAGGACUAGCUUGCCCGCCAAUGCUGUAGUAACCUGGGACCAGUUCCAGACUGCUUUCAGGAACACUUAUAUUCCACAAGGCUUAAUGACUAUCAAGCAUACUGAGUUCAUGAACCUGACGCAAGGCACUAAAAGCUUGACUGAGUAUCUUCAUGCUUUUAAUAAUUUGUCUCGAUAUGCUCCUGAGAUGGUUGACACCGAAGUCAAGAAGCUCGCUAGUUUCAAGAGAGGGUUGGGACCCAAGUUGUCCAAGAACAUGGCUGGUAACAAGAGUACCACCUUUAAUGAGUUUGUAAGUGAUGCGUUGACUCAAGAGAACUCCAAUGCCGUGUAUGCCCCGUCCAAGAACCGCAAGAGGGCCUAUGAGGCAGGUGCUUCACAGUCCAAGGCUCCAGUGGCAAGCAAGCCGGCCUAUCGCCCACCCAAUGCUGUGACAAGGUAUAGGCUGCCGCAGAAAAAGUCAAAUGUGAAGACGGGAGUUCGCAAGUCCUACACAGUUGCUCUCCCAAGAGGUGCCACGGGUCAAGGAGGUCCCAAGACUCCUCCUGAUAACCGUCCCUGUUUCAAUUGCAAGCAAGUUGGUCACUGGGCGAGAGAUUGCCCUUAUCCUAAGAGGAAUGCUGCAGCUGGAGGCAAUAACCGUAUGGGCCGAGUGCACUAUAUCACCAUUGAAGAAAUUCCUGAAGGUGAAGUAGUCACGGCUGGUAUGUUCCUUGUAAAUCAACACCCUGCAGUUGUCUUGUUUGAUUCUGGAGCUUCACAUUCAUUUAUGAGUCAAGCAUUCGCAUCUAAGCAUGGGCAACAUGUCAUCAACCUUGAUAGUGGCAAGUUUUGCAUUAGUGCUACUGGUAAUCAAAUUGCUACAAACCAAGUAGUGAGGGAUGUACAAAUUGCCAUAGAAGGGCGUAAUUAUUCAGCAAAUCUUGUGAUUUUACCGGGCUUGGGAAUAGAUGUUAUCCUAGGAAUGAAAUGGAUGAGUGAUCAUGGAGUGUUAAUAGACACUUCAACUAGGGUCAUCAUGUUGAGGGAGCCUGAUAGUAAGGAAGCUUUCUUAGUUCAACUCCCUAGAAGCAAUGACAUCCGUCACGCGGCCAAUGCUAUUCGACCACUCACUAUAGCAGAAAUUCCGGUAGUGUGUGAGUUUCCGGAUGUUUUUCCAGAGGACCUGCCCGGGUUGCCGCCGGACAGAGACAUUGGAUUUAAAAUUGAUCUAAUUCCGGGUACCGCACCUAUCUCUAGAAGGCCCUAUCGAAUGCCACCCAACGAGUUGGCAGAGUUGAAAAAGCAAUUGCAAGAACUGCUUGAGAAAGGUCUUAUUUGGCCUAGUUCUUCUCCAUGGGGUUGUCCGGCUCUCUUUGUCAAGAAGAAGGACAAGUGUCUGCGUAUGUGUGUAGACUAUCGUCCGCUCAACGCCGUGACUAUUAAAAACAAGUACCCAUUGCCUCGCAUUGAUAUCCUGUUUGAUCAAUUAGCCAAGGCUAAAGUAUUCUCCAAGAUUGAUCUGAGGUCUGGGUAUCAUCAAAUCAAGAUCCGACCUGAAGACAUUCCUAAAACGGCUUUCUCUACCAGGUAUGGGUUGUAUGAGUAUUUAGUUAUGUCCUUUGGUCUGACUAAUGCCCCUGCUCAUUUCAUGUACCUGAUGAAUUCGGUGUUCAUGCCUGAACUGGACAAGUUUGUGGUGGUGUUCAUCGAUGAUAUAUUGGUAUACUCUGAAAAUGCACAAGAACAUGAGGAGCACCUUCGGAUUGUACUCACUAGAUUGCGAGAACAUCAGCUUUAUGCCAAGUUUAGCAAGUGUGAGUUUUGGCUGAAGAAAGUGCCUUUCCUAGGCCAUAUUUUAUCCGAAGAGGGUAUUUCUGUUGACCCGUCAAAGGUGCAGGAGGUUCUAGACUGGAAGGCCCCGACUUCAGUGCACGAGGUUCGGAGUUUUCUCGGUCUAGCUGGUUAUUAUCGUCGCUUUAUUCCAGACUUUUCCAAAAUAGCUAAACCUAUGACCCAGCUACUGCAAAAAGAUGUGAAGUUUGUGUGGACCAAGGAGUGUGAAGUUGCUUUCACCACUUUACGUCAUUUGCUGACCACCGCUCCUGUUUUGGCACAACCUGACAUUGAAAAGCCAUUUGAUGUCUUUUGUGAUGCAUCUGGCACUGGCCUAGGUUGUGUGCUUAUGCAAGAAGGCCGAGUUAUUGCCUAUGCUUCUCGGCAAUUGAGGAAACAUGAAGCCAACUACCCUACCCAUGAUCUAGAGAUAGCAGCAGUUGUACAUGCAUUGAAACUCUGGAGACACUAUCUGUUGGGUAAUCUUUGUCACAUUUACACUGACCAUAAGAGCCUCAAAUAUAUAUUCACUCAGCCCGAACUGAACAUGAGACAAAGAAGAUGGUUGGAGUUGAUAAAAGACUACAAUCUAGAAGUACACUAUCAUCCCGGCAAGGCCAAUGUUGUAGCUGAUGCUCUCAGUCGGAAACAACAUGUUAGACCUCUCCUAGAGGAAGGCUUCAAUUUAUUGCAUCCUGUGGUCCUGCACAAUGUUGACACUUGCUAACACUACUUGAAUACUAGGUUGUCAUCCCCAGCAUGGCACUAGAGUAUUUAUACGCACACAGAUAAUCCGCAAGCGCACGGAUACCGUUGAAGCUUUUACCCGGUUAAAGGUUUUAUCGUAUCCACAGGGAAACGGGAGAACCAACUACGCUCUAACUUAACCAAGAUAGAUAGAUAGGUGUAAAUAGGAAAGAUGGUAGAAUCGAAUAAGAACAAUAUUAAAGGUAAGAUAACAGUGAGUGAUAAUAUGGGAAUAGAGAGUAGAGCAAUUCUAGUAUAUGGGCGAUGGUAGCAGAAUAGAGAGGAUAACUAUGAUUUCUCUACUUCAAAGGGGUAUGUCUAUGUCUGGGACGAACCACGUGAUAAGAGUACACCACAAAGGAUGCUUAUCCAUAGGCCGAUAAACCCUACCCGUCCUGCUAACGAGAGGUGGACUACAGGGGACCAACGUAACUGUCACCUACGCGGCCUACCACACGAUCCAGCUAGUCAGGGGAUAUCCACAAGUAAUCUAGGUCUAAGCACCACGCUUACACCUAUACUACAACUCUAACCUAUAUGGUCCUAUAGAUUAGAAGUACUCAAAAGAGUUGUGAACCAGAACAUACAUGAUUAGUAAUUGCAUAAUGAAUUAGAAGUAGAUUACCAGAGUCAUCCCAUGAGCAAGCUUGAUUAGAGCUUGAUCAUGGCGAAGUACAACCGGAGGAAGAACCGACAGGCCGGCCUCUCCUCUAAUCCUCCUUCGCUCUCCAUCUCGCUACUAUCUAGAUCUACUCUAGUUUAGAGAAGAGAGGAGAGCUCUCAUCUCUAAACCCUAGCUUUUGCUCUGUCUAUGAAUAAUGAAUAAUGAUAAAGGGGUGUCUCCUCCAGGGGCCAGGAGGUCUGGUUUUAUAGUCCCCUCAAGUGAACCUGGGCCGUCGGAUCAAACCGACAUUGAUUGAACGGUUAUUCUUGAUCCUUUAGGUCGGUGGAGCAUAAUCCGCGAGAUUGAGCGUGAUUGGCCACAUGAGGUGGGUGGGCGCCCAGUAGGACAGGGCGGGCGCCCUGUCUCUGGCCCCGUUUUGCCUCCGCUUCGGUCUCGUGGCUUCUAGAGUCUUCUAGAUGUAAGAUAAUUGCGCAGCACGUUAAUAUCUUUACGUAAUCCCGACAUGUGGGCCUUUCUUCCAUAUUUCCUGAUAACCCCCUCCAGAAAUAGACAAACACCAAAACUCGUGGAAUUCUGUCAGAUAAAACCCUAAGUCUAGAUGUUGAUUUCAUUUGGAUCGUUUUCUUUAUUUAUUUGAUAAUUAAAUUUGAUACUUAAGGACCGUCAACAAAUUCCCCCAAGCUUACCUAUUGCUCGUCCCUGAGCAAGGAUAGAUUCAGCAAUGGAUCAGAAGUUGUUGCAAUAUCUUUAAAAAUUGACGGUACACAUGCUUUUUAAGUAAGUUCUCAUCUCUGAGUUAGAGUAAACUGUCAAGAACUAAAACUUACUUACUUUACCUUUCACCAUGGGACUUGUAACCGUCACUUCUGUCUUGAGUAGUUAAAAGAUAGAACAGUCUAGCCAAGUGCCAUGUCUCUUAUUCUUGAUCAGCUAUAGCUCUGGAGUUUUUGCAGAUUUUCAAAUAAAACUCAGAGAUUCCUUUGUAUGACUCUCUCAUAUCUCUCUUUUGUGGUAUUUCUGGAUCCUUACCAAGGCAGUGAUGGUAUAUGCCUUCUCUCAAAAUAUGUGGUAUUUGUGGUAUAAGGCAUAGUGACAUUGCCUUCUCUCGCACCCUACUCUAAUAAGGCUUUAAUAUCUGGAGCUCAUAGGUGGGAGAUAAAGUACACAUACUUACAAGACAUUUAUUAUGUAGUCAAACCAUGGAUCCAGAGAAACAAAUCAAUAAGCCAAAUCAAGAUGUGCAUGUGUGGCGAAUGAAUGGUGUAUAGUGAUGAUGGUGAUAACAAUGGUGAAAGUGUAAUUCUACUUUUGCUCUUAUGAGGGGAUACAUACCUUCCUUGUUUUUUGAAAUUUUAUGAGGAGAAUGAGAUGCUCUUCUUUUUCUUUUCUCUCAGAUGGGUAUCCUGUACCUCUAAUUCUACUAUCGGACACUUGUCCAUUUUUACCUCUCAUCUCACUCUUUUUCUUUUCUUUCGAGGUUCCGGGCACUUACCCCUUUUUAUUUCCUCGUUUAUUUUUUUUAUUUUCUCUUUUUUUUUUCUUCUUUUUUUCAGAGCACUCAUCUCUUAAGAUAAUAUAGCAAGUGGUAGUAGCAAGAUAACUUGAGCAUUUAUUUCACAAGGGAAAAACACAAAUGUUUUUGGCUAUUCUCUCCCGAAUUAGUAGAAUAUUUUUAGGUGAAACUGGAGAUGGAAAUGGAUGGAUAUAUGUGGAUGGUACUUCCGGAGUAGAAGUAGCAUAUAUGAGUGAACGUGCAAGUGAAUCUUGAUUUAACCACAUGACAAGCUCCUAAGGGUCUACACAGCUUGACCACACUCAAUGCUCAUAAGCAGUAAAUAGUAAAUGUGUGGCUCAAAGUCUAGCAAGCAUGUAUAUAUGGCUGUGGUAGGAAUUUAAAUUCUCAUCAUACAGGAACUCAUCAUGCAAUAUUUUUAAAGAUUUUUCAAAGAUAAAAUUCUCCAGAAUUCUAGCAUCUCUAGGAACAGAUAAACAGCAGCUCAACCUUCCCAUAUCAUAUCCGUUAACAACUUAGAUUUCAGAUCAAGUUUUCAUCCCACAAGUUUAGAUCUAGAGCAAGCUUUAAAUUAUAACAGUUAUGUCUAAACUUGAGAGAGAACUUCAAAUUUGCAAAUUAGGCAGAGCAACUAUUCAUCAUAUCCAUGCUAGAGUUUUAUUAUUAAGAUUCAGAUUAGCAUAGCCACUUUAUUUAUUUAUUAAACACACUAAGCAAAAGAUAUAUAUAAGCACAAAAUCUUUAUUUGGUUUUUCAUAGUUUAUGUAUUUUAAUAUUCUAAUAUAAUAUAAGUAUAAAGAUAGGUAGAAAUACUUAGCGAGAUAAAUGGGGGUGCUCUCCCCCAAGCUGAAUUUUGACGUAAUUUCUCUUGAUGUAGCUAGCAGGUGGCAGAGGUGUAUUUGAAAGUCACCAGCAUUCUGACAGCGAUUAGAAUGUCCUCCGUCUCCUAGUCUUCUUGAUUCUUAAAUUCUGUAGAGCUCAAAUAGACAACAAAGCUUGUGGAACUAAUUAAGUGUUAGCAUAAAUAUCUAGCCUUCAUCACGUUGAGCUUCCUCAAUAAAUAUUACUCCUUGUUUUUAUAUUUUUCUUUUAUAAAGUAGAAAAGAAAUAUUUAUUUUAUUUUUAUGCCACCACAGUGAAGGUACUUAUGGGUUUUAUGCCACUCGUAUACUCACAUGGGGCUUAGUAUUUUUUAACAUUUUUAUUUUCUUUUCAAGAUAGCAUGAUUAACUAAUAAUCUAUUUAAGGAAAGUAAAUAAUUAAAUGGAAAAGAGAAUGCAGAAAGGAUAAAUAUGGAUAACUACCAAUCUUACCUUUCGGCGAGGGUUCAAUGUUUUAAGUCUUCUUGUCAAGACUUCUCAUCGUGUUCAUUCUUUAGGUGCGUCAUUUGAUUCAGGUGCGGACCUUGACGUCUGCACCUUUUAAUACGGUGUCACCCAUGUUCUUCGUUUGCCCAGCAGUUCGAAGUGAGGUGUUAGCAGUAUCUUGCUCAGUGUGUUUGUGCUCGUAGUGUACCUGCUCAUAGAGACAAUGCAGAGAUCAAGUGCAUGGGCCCUGUUAGUGGAAAACACCAACAGAACCAAAAGUGUAUUUGUUCUUCUCUAACCUUAAGCAUAGUGAGCAAGACAAAGUUGAUGGAUGAUAAGUUCAUGAGUGUAGCACUUAUAACAUUUGUUAGAUCAGAUCGCUCAACCUUAUGGAAAGAUAAUCUAUCUAUGUAUAUGUCUUUUUCUUUAUAUCUCUCAAUGAUUGAAUGUGUAACAUUUUAGCUCAUAUGAUUAGGAGUGUGGGAUCAUGGAGGUAGUACUAAGAACAAGGAUUAAAGGACUAAACAUGUUGAAUCAGUUGGGUUGGUUAAUCUAGAGUUGUAAAUCAUACGUGUUUGUCUCUUUUAUUUAUAUGAACGCCAGAACCAAGGAGAAGCUUAUAAAAGUGAUAGUCAAGUACCUUAAGAUGUUACCUUGCUCGAAGAGUGAUGGUACAGUAUCAUCUUGUGGAAGCUUUCCUUUCUUAGCGGUUGUGCGUCGUGUUUGUGGCACCCUCCAUGGAUCAUCUCUCUAUGAUGAAUGAGCUGUGUCCUUCUUGUGCAAAUUGUUAAACUUCAUGUGUCACUCUCUUCGUCUCUGAUGUGAGUUUAUCUCAGGACUUCCCAAAUCGAUAUUCAAAGUUUUUCUGUAGGGGUUAGUCCGACAAAAUAUACCAAUAUCUACUCAAGCAGUUUUUUUUAGUUCAAUAAACCAAACUAGACUCCAUGUCUAAUCAGAUUAAGAAAGGCUAUUUAACCUAAGCACCAUGCUUAAUUUAAAUGCCAAUGGAAGUAUGGCGAGUACUUCCAAACCAACACUUGCUAGUAAAUAGACAAAGGUAGCAUGACAGCAUUUAUAGAGAUCUACUCAAGUGGAGAUGAAGUAGUGUGAUUAGUAUUUAACAAAUUGAGCAUGUCUCAAAGGUAGGGACAACCAGCAUAGCAACAUGGCAAAGGAUGUUUUUAUGUAAAGUACUCCCCCAAGCUUGAAUUUUGCAAAAAUUCAAGUUUGGAUGAAUUUAAUUCAAUGUUGUAUGAUGAUUGGUUGGACAUACCUUGUGCUUGUCAUUCAUCCGAUCUUCUUGCUCCAAUCUUAGAAAGGUUAGUGACAAGAAUACCCGAAGGAAUAUUUUUUAUUUUACAAUUAUCCUUAUAUGCUCAAUACACAAGGUAAUGUUGCAAAUAAUUAAAGGCUCAUGUUACGAUCUGAUCAAUGCUUAUUUUAAGACACUAAGCUUGUCUUUGGGAAACCAUCAGUUUAUGUUGGCGAAGUGGUUUCCCCUCCGACGCCAACCUAUAUCUGGAUCAACUCAACGAGAUCUGCAAUAUUUAUUAUAGACAUAUUCAUCGACAACCGCCCUUUUAAAGUUUUUAUAAAUAGAAAGGAAGAGGGGGUUGGAGAUCUCAGGUGUGGUGAUGUCGGAGAGACCAAUAGAUUGGGAAGAUGUUGCAUAUGAGCAUGGAGUAAACAAAGUGGCUAUGAAAUAAAUUCCACGCUCAUUAAUGUUAUCUUCGUCUCCAAUCUGAAUGUUUAGAGUUUCUCUUGGAUUGGUCUCACCUAUGUCCUCUUCUGUAGUUGGAUGAAUCUCAUCUUCAAAGGGAGUCAAGAACUCACCAUUUGAAAUUGAGCCAAAGUCAGAACCCAUUAAGGCUUCUUCCUUAUCCAUCCAUUCUACACAUUCUAGCCAUUUAGAACUUGUGAUCAAAAUAGGGGAGGUGUUAGAAUUUUCUAUAUGGCUUAGCUCUCCUUCUAUGGCAUUACUUGACAUGCCAUCCUUAUGGUCUUCAUGACUCCUAUGGUUUGGUCGUCUUGGUGAAUUGCUAGGAUCAUCAUGAGACUGAAAAGAAGAGGGAUCUCUAAGGUCAAGGAUGGAUUUAGAACUUGUGAACAUGGAAGGGGAGUAGAUAGAAUUGUCUAUAUGGCUUAGCUCUCCUUCACUUGAUAUGUCAUCCUCGACUUCUUCAUGAUAGGAACCAGGACAUUCUCUAAGAGAAAUAUUAUUGCAAGGAUUUGAAUUAUCCCCGCUUGAAGGUCUCUUAUAGAACCAGAAGUCUAAACCAUCAGCAUCUAAAAGAUUUAAGGUCGGAAUUCCUUCUUCCCUUGGAAAAUUUUGGGGUAUUGAUGGUUUAGGAUCGAUAGCUAAAGUUUGGGAUUGAAGUGGUUGUGAUCUGGCUAUCGAAACUUCUUCUUCUUGUCUAGGAACUGGUUCUUUCUCUUUCUCAGGGAUGUAAAAGCUAGGAGACUUUCCGCUCAUUAAAUCAAUCAAAUUCCAAGCUUCACUAGCGGAUAGGUGGUGGAAAGAUCCUCCAGAGGCCGCAUGAAGGGUUUGCUUAUCUUCCUUACUAAGGCCCUCAAAAAAGUGAAUUAGAAGAACUUCUUCUGGAAUAGAAAGUUUUGGGCCAGUGAGAGUAAGGUUAAUAAAGCGGUCCCAUGAUUUGCCAAGAGAUUCUUCUUCCAGUUGUCUAAAAGAAAGAAUCUCACGCUGAAGUUCCACCACUUUGGAGAUUGGAAAAUAUUUAGAAAGAAAACUACUAUAUAACUCCUUCCAAUCUCCAUGAACACUCCCUACUUUGAGUUUAUACCAAUGUCUAGCUUUUCCCGUUAAAGAGAACGGAAAGAGCUUCCAUUUAAGGGUCUCAUCGGACAUGCCUUCUAUGCGAAGGAGGUCACAGACUCGAUAAAACUCUCUUAGGUGUGUGUAUGGGUUUUCCUCACCUUCUCCUGAGAAAGGUUGUUUUUGAAUAAAUUCUAUGUAUUCGGGGUCUAUCUCAAAACUAGAUGCUAUGAUAGGCUUUGAAGAUUUUGGUGGUUCGAGAUGUGUGCCCAUAGGUCUAUGAAAUUCAUAGAUAGACAUGUUUGAAUUCAUAAUAGACCAGAGAUCAAGGAUUAGAUAAGAAGAAAGAAUAGCAGAGAUGAGGCAAAGGAUAAAAGGAAAAUAUAUUUUUUUAUUUAUUUAUUUAUUAUUAUUUUUUUUAUAAAAUAAUUAAACUAGUUCGUAGUCAACUCAGCAACCGUUUCCCCGGCAACGGCGCCAAAAAUGCUUGUUGACACUUGCUAACACCACUUGAAUACUAGGUUGUCAUCCCCAGCAUGGCACUAGAGUGUACUAUGGUAUUUAUACGCACACGGAUAAUCCGCAAGCGCACGGAUACCGUUGAAGCUUUUACCCGGUUAAAGGUUUUAUCGUAUCCACAGGGAAAUGGGAGAACCAACUAUGCUCUAACUUAACCAAGAUAGAUAGAUAGGUGUAAAUAGGAAAGAUGGUAGAAUCGAAUAAGAACAAUAUUAAAGGUAAGAUAACAGUGAGUGAUAAUAUGGGAAUAGAGAGUAGAGCAAUUCUAGUAUAUGGGCGAUGGUAGCAGAAUAGAGAGGAUAACUAUGAUUUCUCUACUUCAAAGGGGUAUGUCUAUGUUUGGGACGAACCACGUGAUAAGAGUACACCACAAAGGAUGCUUAUCCAUAGGCCGAUAAACCCUACCCGUCCUGCUAACGAGAGGUGGACUACAGGGGACCAACGUAACUGUCACCUACGCGGCCUACCACACGAUCCAGCUAGUCAGGGGAUAUCCACAAGUAAUCUAGGUCUAAGCACCACGCUUACACCUAUACUACAACUCUAACCUAUAGGGUCCUAUAGAUUAGAAGUACUCAAAAGAGUUGUGAACCAGAACAUACAUGAUUAGUAAUUGCAUAAUAAAUUAGAAGUAGAUUACCAGAGUCAUCCCAUGAGCAAGCUUGAUUAGAGCUUGAUCAUGGCGAAGUACAACCGGAGGAAGAACCGACAGGCCGGCCUCUCCUCUAAUCCUCCUUCGCUCUCCAUCUCGCUACUAUCUAGAUCUACUCUAGUUUAGAGAAGAGAGGAGAGCUCUCAUCUCUAAACCCUAGCUUUUGCUCUGUCUAUGAAUAAUGAAUAAUGAUAAAGGGGUGUCUCCUCCAGGGGCCAGGAGGUCUGGUUUUAUAGUCCCCUCAAGUGAACCUGGGCCGUCGGAUCAAACCGACAUUGAUUGAACGGUUAUUCUUGAUCCUUUAGGUCGGUGGAGCAUAAUCCGUGAGAUUGAGCGUGAUUGGCCACAGGAGGUGGGCGGGCGCCCAGUAGGACAGGGCGGGCGCCCUGUCUCUGGCCCCGUUUUGCCUCCGCUUCGGUCUCGUGGCUUCUAGAGUCUUCUAGAUGUAAGAUAAUUGCGCAGCACGUUAAUAUCUUUACGUAAUCCCGACAUGUGGGCCUUUCUUCCAUAUUUCCUGAUAACCCCCUGCAGAAAUAGACAAACACCAAAACUCGUGGAAUUCUGUCAGAUAAAACCCUAAGUCUAGAUGUUGAUUUCAUUUGGAUCCUUUUCUUUAUUUAUUUGAUAAUUAAAUUUGAUACUUAAGGACCGUCAACACACAACAUCAUAGUCAGCUACUCAUUAGAAAGUCAAAUCAUAGAGCUCCAAAAAUCUGAUCCUAGUAUUUAUCAUAUCAAGAGAAAAAUGCAAGAGCAAGACACCAAGCAUUUCAGGGUAGAUGAGAAAGGUGUACUGUGGUUUGACAAUCGAUUAGUUGUACCUAAAGAUCGUGACCUACGCAACAAAAUCCUAGAAGAAGCUCACUCUUCCAAACUAUCCAUUCAUCCGGGUAGUAGCAAAAUGUAUCAAGACUUAAGACCUCGUUUCUGGUGGACCAAAAUGAAGAAAGAAAUAGCAGCUUAUGUCGCAAGGUGUGAUACUUGCUGCAGGGUAAAAGCAGUUCACCUCAAACCUACAGGUUUAUUGCAACCCUUGUCAAUUCCAAGUAGGAAGUGGGAAGAAAUCAGCAUGGAUUUCAUUGUUGGACUUCCCCUUACUCAAAAAGGACACAACUCUAUAUGGGUGAUUGUUGACCAUUUGACCAAGUCAGCUCAUUUUAUUCCUGUACACUCUACAUACCGGCCAUCUGACUAUGCUGACUUGUACUUCUCUCAGAUAAUUAAAUUGCACAGAGUGCCUCGCACUAUUAUUUCUGAUAGAGGUCCUCAGUUCACUACUCACUUUUGGGAGCAUCUGCAUUCACUCCUUGGCACAAAGUUGGUUCGCAGUUCAGCCUAUCAUCCUCAAACCUCCGGUCAAACUGAGCGUGUGAAUCAAAUUUUAGAGGAUAUGUUGAGGGCUUGUGUUAUAUCUUCCAAGGGUGCAUGGGAGAAAUGGCUACCGUUAGCUGAAUUCUCUUACAAUAAUAGUUAUCAAGAAAGCAUCCAAAUGGCCCCUUUCGAAGCUUUGUAUGGCCGCAAAUGUAGAACUCCUCUAAACUGGGUCGAACCAGGUGAAAGAAGGUACUACGGAAUUGACUUCGUCAAGGAAGCUGAGAAACAAGUUCUCAUUAUUCAGCAACACAUGAGAGCCGCCCAGGCUAGGCAGAAAAGCUAUGCUGACCGAAGAAGAAAGCCAAUUGAAUUCGAAAUAGGUGACUUUGUGUACAUAAAAGUAUCACCCAUGAAAGGAGUAAAUCGCUUCGGCGUUAAAAGAAAGCUUGCCCCUAGGUAUGUGGGUCCCUACUGAAUCAUUGAGAAGAGUGGCAAGGUGGCUUACAAAGUACAACUACCUCCCGAAAUGAGAGCUAUUUUCCUUGUAUUCCACGUGUCCCAACUCAAGAAGUGUCUUCGUGUGCCCGAAGAGAGGGGUGAAACAAGAGAUAUCAAGUUGCAGUCAGACCUAUCUUAUGAGGAAAAGCCUGUACAAGUUCUUGAUGUCAAAGAACGGAUUACACGUGGGAAGGUGAUCAAACGUUUUAGAGUAUUGUGGAACCGUCAAAAUGAGAGAGAUGCCACUUGGGAAAGGGAAGACUAUUUACAAGAAACUUAUCCCACAUUCUAUGAAAAAUGGUACGUCUUUCAAAUCUCGGGACGAGAUUUUUGUAAGGGGGGAGGGCUGUAACACUCCUAGUGUUAGCUUGCAUGUUAACCAUGAGCAUUGCAUUAGCAUAAGCAUCAUCAUGAUCACUCAUGAGCAUCAUACCAUGAUCACAUGCCAUUUGCUUUAUGCACUACAUGAUUAAAUUGCUUGUGUGACUUGAAUUGGGUGACUAUAAGGGGUAGCCAAUGCAAACAAUUGUAUAUUGUCUUCCAAAAUACCUCAAUCAUGCUUAGAAUAUCUUUUGGAACAAAGUUCAUGUUGAAGGUUUUGGCCAAAAAUGUCCCUAAGUCAUGGUUAGCCCUAGAAUGACCUUUUUGACCCUCCUAGACCUCUUUUCAAAAAUGUUUUAUGAAACUGGUGUUAGAUAUCUUUCAUGUCUUUGACACCUGAAACAAAGUUGUAGAGAAUUUCAUAAGCUACAAAAGUUAUGUUGAUGAAUUUUUAUGAAAAAGCUUGGAACACUUUCAAAAUUCACUCACAAGCCAAAAAUCAGGGCUGAUUUCACACUUAGCCGAAUUUGGCUAAGUGUUGGAUCACGCAGUUUCGACCAAGGGUUGUUUGGAGCCUUGUAGUUUGAAAUCCAGACCGAGUUGGACAUUGAUCUUGUAACCAAAGUUGUAGAACUCGUGUAGCUCUGUCCAAAGGAACAAGUUUGAGCCAAAACCACCGAGUGAGCUGAGAGUAAAACGCCGGUGAACUUUGGGUUUCAGACACGGUCGACGACGACUGAAUCGUGCGAUUCAGUUUUGUCAGUCGCCGGCCGGCCGACGCGUGGAUGACCCAUGGCGGCCGUACGUCGACGGCGACCCCACCUGUCAGCCCCGGCGCCUUCACUUGGAUGCCACGACGCCACCCCGAGCCCCGGCCGUCCUCAUUUCGCCUCUCCAGCGCUCUCUCCCUUCUCCAUUUCGCCUCGGCGAGCUCCGCCGUGGAACGGCCGCGUCGCCCGAGCUCCUCUCGCCGUCUCCGGCCAAGCCAGCCCGCCAAAAGCUUCGCCAAAGCCUCCUCUACCUCGGCAUCACCCCCUUGGCCACUGUCAGGCACGGGUAAGGCGGCAUUGCCGAGCUCCGAGCAGUUCUUCCUCGCCGGAGUUCCGCUCGAGCUCACCGGCAACGUGGCCAGGCUUCUCUGCUCCAACAUUUCCCUCCAUUCUUGUUCCUAUCGCUUCCCCUUGGUUCACUGAUGCUCGGCAUGACGCUCUACCGCGUCACCAUUGCCUGGAUCCGCCGGCGUAUCGCCGCGCAGCGCCGCCGCUCCGCCAUUCCCGACGUCGAGCACCCUAGAGUCCAGUAGAGCGCGCGUAAAGUAGGUCAACAGAGUCGCCUUGAUGAGAGGAACACGUAGGUGCCCUUGGAUCCGGCCGAGACCUCGUCGUCGUUGAGCUUCGCCGGCAACGAGCAUCUCCCCUGCCUCUGUCUCACUGACGCGCGGGUCCCGGAUGUCAGCCUCUCUGUGUCACCCCCUCUGAUUCACUGUUUUGCAGAGCCAAAGCUGUUUUUGUAAAAUUCAUAUCUGGAGUUUUAGAGAUCCAAAUGUGGUGCUUCCAAUUUUGCUAAGUUCUAGCUCAAGCCUAGUUUUUAAUAAAAAAUAUGAAACAUGCUAUGUUUUUGCAGAAAUAAAUAGAUAUAAAUUAAUCUUGGAUUUUCAGUGGGUAAUUAUAUCUUGAGAUCUAGUGAUCUGCUGGCCAUGCAAAUUUAGGGAGUUGUUACUUAUGUUAUGAAUAGGCUCUGAUACAUUUUUCAUGAUUUUUGGAAGCCUAGUUAAGAAGUUAAAAAUAAAUCUUGCUUAAAUAGGAGUUUCUUGUGAUAUUUUUAGUAAUUAAGUUAUAACUCCUUUUGUGAUGAAACUUGCUGAGUGUUGUACUUAUGGCUAGACAAAGCUAGGAAAAAUCUGAAAUCUGUUGUUUGACACUUUUUGAUAGGGUUUCACAUUUAUGCCUUGCAUGCCUUUACUAGCUUGUUAAUUUUAUACCUCACAAUGUGUAUGUGCAAAUGUUCUGAAAAUUUUACAGUGAUCUUAUGUUAGCAUAAGUAGCUUGCUGUAAUUUUCUUAGGAUUUUUGGAACACUUGAAGUAUAUGUUCAUUAAAUCACCUUAAUAAUUAAAUAAAUAGAAAAGGUGAUGAUAGAAAUAGUUUUAGACCUUGCCAUGAUGUUUUCUGGUGUUCCUUAGAUAUGUUAUAUCUGUUGGUGCAAUUGGUUUAUCCCUGUGGUACAUUCUCAAUAUGUGCAAAAUAUUAUUUUAGCUAUUAUUGCCUUUCCUAGAGCAUUUCUGUAUAGCUGAUAGCAAAUGAUUGAGAACUACUUGAAGAUUGUGUUUUCUGGGAAACUUGUCUACAACAAACUUGUAGCUAACUUACUGAUAUACUUCUUGUCCAAAUUUCAUGACAAUUGGUUGAGUAGUUUGAAAGUUAUGCAUAUUUCAAGUAGCUGCUGUAAAGUGCUUGCUCUCUGGAAUUCCCAGAGCAGUCAGCCAACUUUGUAUGUUUAGCAUAUUUUGGUUGGGAAUCAUGCUGAGAUGUCAAGAAAUUAAUUGUAGAUAAUUUGCUAAGCUUUCCAGAAAGUACUUACUUGCUUAGUUUGGUUAACUGAUUCUUAAGUUAUGGCUAAAACUUGUGACUGGUUGGCUUGUCUACUAAACCAGUGGCUGAGUAGGAAUAACUAGAAUUUGUUUAACUUGUCCAAUUAGUCUCUCUACCAGAGAAGAAGUAUGCACUGGCUUGUUAUUCCAUGAUUCACUUAAUCUUAGAAGUUUACACUCAUGUUAUACCUUGUCUUAUGUCUUUUUGGCUCCUCAUCAUGAUAUCAUGCAUCAUAUGUGCAUUCUCUAUAUUCAUCUCCUUGUCAUGCAUCCAUAGGUGUACCCAAGGGUGUGACGGUACUGGAGUACGAGUUGCCGGAGCCGGAAGGACAGCAAGGGGAACUACCUCAAGGAGUUGAGGAGGAGGACUUGCCGGAGUGCCCUGACCAUCGUCCCUCUACUUACGUUGAAGGCAAGCCGCGGAGCAUUAUAAGCCUCCUACUAUUUUAUUAUCACAAUCAGCUAUCAAAUGACUAUGGUUAUAUAUUGUUGCAUUAAGUGGUAGGCGUUGAUAUGACACCCUUGCUGCAUAAUAACUACCUUGUCCACCUUAAACAUUACCGAAGUAGGUCCAGGAUCGAAGUGAUGCUUAGCCAUGCUUAGCUCGGUAGAAGCCAGGUGAUUUCCUGUCACCUGCGAGAGUUAGGUGGAUGAUGAUCACGGUGGGCUAUAUUUGCUAUCGUGGAGAUAACCUGGUGCUAAAAACGAACUUGAGACCGGGCGGGAUGACGAUAGCGCAGCAACAAGGCAUGGAGGUCUUGGGUGUGAAUCUAUCCCCGUCUGUGUCGUUUAAGGACCGAAUCGCUGUACGUCCCCGUGUCAUGUUGAACGCAUGCCUAUCACUUAGUUGGUCGGAUAAGUCGUUCCGACCGCAAAGCCCACGAGUGCAACUCAGGCCGGAUACCCCGUUCUGUAUGAGUGCGCAUCCCGGUUGGUAGCAAGGAUGUGCGGGGAGUCAAUGGCGUAAGACCGAGGUGUCAGGUUAGAGUCCUAACCCUGGCAGAUUGGCGGUCCCUAGGGGUGCGGCGCUGGACGGACCCGCGAAUUGGUCCGGAGUUGAGCUGCCGUCAUGAAGUAUGCUUGGGUGAGUGUUAGGAAUACCCCUCGAGCUGGAUAGGAAUCGAUUCGAAUCGCCGUCUCUCCCAGAUAGUGAGAACUUGACUUGGGCAGCGGCAACGUAGAACUCACUAAGCAAACAUAAUGGUUAUGAUGAGAAUGUUGAUAGCAAAGUAAUAAUCCUGAUAUGGUUAUUAUUGAAUUGAUUAAUUACUCAAGUGUAUGCUUAGAACAGGUGCUAAUCUAGUGGAUAGUUGUUAAGUAAUGAACUUGCUGCUGAAAUAUGAAUAAAUGAAUUACUUAUAACAAAGGCUUUUAUGCAAAAAGUGAGUCAAACCAGUUCACUAAGAUCAGCCUUGCAUACUCCUUGGUGUCACUUUAUUUCUGGUUUAUGACGGGUAAGUCUAGCUGAGUACAUUCUCGUACUCAGGGUUUUAUUUACCCCUGUUGCAGAUGAUGUCGUCUAUCACGGCUAUUGCGCUAACUGUCAUCACCCAGCUGGGGAUGAUGAAUAGAUCAUGGGCGUGAUCGCUCUUCUACCUUCAGUUAUGCUUUUGUGGGGAUUGACCACGGAACUGGCAUGUAUUAUAAACUGGGUUGUUGUUGUUUCAAAACUACUUUGUUUCCGCUACUGCUAUGGUUUGUAAUAACCUGUUUCAACUCUGAUGUGAUGUAAAACUAUGUUAUGUGUUGAAUGUUGUAAUCUGUAAUGGUGAUGCUUGAUCAUGUACGAUCUUGGUUGUAUGAUGGUUGAAUCGAGGUCUUUUGAGAUUUCGUCGGACUACCGGGUUUAUAUGGGUUCAAGUCCAUUGUCUUGACUGCCUCAGUGGUCGCAAAUUCACUUGAAUUCUUAUAAAUUGGACCGUUCUGUUACACUAAACAUGUAUAUAGAUCCAAUCUAACUAAGCCAAGUAUAUAACUAUGAUAAACUAAGAACAAUAUAAUCUUGAAUAUAAACAAGUAGAGCAAAGUCAUAAGCAAUAUAUUGAAGUAGAACAAAGUCAUAUUCAUAAUAUUGAAGAACAAGAUGAACAAUUAGAAGAAUAAUUAGAGAAUUACCAAGAAUCCUCUUGACAGAUCCAGAAACCAAUCGAAGAUUGACUCCUUCUAGUUCUAAUCCUAUGUAGCAAUGCUAAUCUAGAUGUCUAAUUGAUGUGGUGGCUCUAGGCUUGAUCAGAGGCUUCUUCUCCCUUGAAGAAUAAUAAAUUAGGGUUGAGAUGUUCUCUCCUCCAGGAGCCAGGGGGUAUGGUUUUAUAGUCCCUUCAAGUGAAUAUAGGCCAUUGGAUCAAACCGACAUAGAUUGAACGGUUAUCCUUGAUCCUUUAGGUCGGUGGAGAUCUUUCCCGAAAAAGUGUCUUGAUUGGAGUCCAACAGGGGGCGGGCGCCCUAGUCUCCUGGGCGGGCGCCCAGGGCCAGGCCCCGUUCGGCCUCCGCUUCCUUUCCGUGGCUUCUGGAGUCUUCUAGAUGUAAGAUAAUUGCGCGGCACGUUGAUAUCUCUAUGUAAUCCCGACGUGUGGGCCUUUCUUCCGUAUUUCCUGAUAACCACCUGCAGAAAUAGACAAACACCAAAACUAGUGGAAUUCUGUCAGAUAAAACCCUAAGUCUGGAUGUUGAUUUCAUUUGGAUCCUUUUCUUUGUUUAUUUGAUAAUUAAAUUUGAUACUUAAGGACCGUCAACAGGUAGUCAUGCUAGUUGGUCUCGUUCCAUGAGGAAAAGUUUUGAGGUAAAAGGAAGCAAGUGUGUUGUCUUCACUCAUAGAUUGGCACAUAGUAUAUGGUGUAUUAACAAGAACUAGUUUUGGCAUGAAUUUGUGUUUCGUAGUUCAUGGUGCCACUUCAAGCUACUAGUUGGUUUGAGGGAAAAGUUGACCCAUGGAAUCAGUGAUCGUCAUCUGCUUGAUGGUUAUUUUAACCAGAAGUUUGGUAACGUCCUCUGGGCAAAUUAAGUGUGAUAUACAGUCUCUAUGUUGUCAUUGGUUGUUCCAUGGAUGAUGCUGUGUCAAGUAAUUGGAGCAUUUAGGAGGAUAACGUCUAGCUCCUAGCUAGUUUAUUCCAGACGAGUAUAUGAAAUUUCUUAGUUUGUUUCUUUUAUUAGGGAAUGAAAGGUCUAGUGGCUUGACCAUUUUAUCGAGAAAGACAGGAGACAAUUUUUUUUAUGGGCCACUUUAAGCUUGUCUUAGAAAUAAGCUAUGUGUUUGUUAAGGUGGCAUUUUGUCAUCAUGUUCUUUGUCAUUGUAGGAAAGUUUGACAACUUGGAAUUUUUUCUAUUUUUUUACAUGUAUGUUUUCCUGCUGUAUGAAGAGCCAUCAAAGUAUGAAAGUGUGGCCUUAGAUUUUUUUAUAACCCCUAUGCUAUUAGAAUGUUCUUACUGAGACCUUGAGUUUGAGUUCAAGCACUGACUGUUCAUAGAUGAUCAAAAUUUCUGAGUUGAGUGUCCCAGUGCAUAUAUAUAUAUAUAUAUAUAUAUAUAUAUAUAUAUAUAUAUAUAUAUAUAUAUAUAUAUAUAUAUAUAUAUAUAUAUGAGUGCCACUCGUUGGUGUUUGUGUUUUAUUUGAAGUGAUUUUUACUAGGUAUCCAGAUCAAAAGUCCUCUCAGUAGUAGUUCCUUGCUUCGUACUACGAGACCUUGGCCAUGUUACAAGUGCAGCCAUUUUAGAGGAGUCUUAUACUUUUUGUUUGCUUAUAAGUGGAGGAAUUCGGAGACGAAUUCUUUUAAGGGGGGUAGAAUGUAAAACUUAGAAUAUGUUUAUUGCGUUAGAAGUGUAAAGUAGCAUAAUAAUAAUAAUAAUUUUUAAUCCAUCACUCAAAUGAGUGAUCAGAGACUAUAGACACGUAGAGCUCGUUGAAUGCUUUCAGUUGCACUACUCAUAUGCAUUGUUUGGAAUUUGGGUCAUGGAGAUAUAAAUUUCAGAAGUUUUGAAGAAGAAAAAAAAUAAACCUGUUACUGUAGCGCGACGCAACAGUACCGUGCUGCUACAGUACCUGUAUCCCCACUCCCAAGACCUUUAGGUGCCAUCCAUAGCUUUUCAUAUUCAGGAGAAAAGAAGAGAGGGGAGAAGAGAGAAAGGAGAAAAGGGAAGGGGAGGUGAGGACCUAGGGUUUUGCCACCGCAGUCGCCACCGCCGCCAUCGCCGCCUUCGGUCAUCCGUGGUGGUCGUUCUUCCUCCUGUGGAAAAUACGGUUAGGUUCUACCUCGUAUCUUGGCUGUCCCAUUGAUCCACCAUGUCGCUUUGCUGUCCAUGAGGGCAUAGCCAUGUUUGGCGUAGAUCGGAAUAACAAGGCCUUUGUGGCGGCAAGGAUCGUGGCGAGUUGGAUCGGAGAUGAUGGAAAGGUGAAGAGGCGGAGAAGAAGGAGUAGACGCCGGGAGUUUCGGCAUCGUGCUCGCUGUGGUUCUUUAGGUGAGAAGCCAAAUAUUAAUCCCCUUCAUCUGAUCAUGUUUUGCGUAUUAAAUCGCUUAUUUGGGAUUGAGUUUAGUGGAGAAAUUCUCGAGAUCAAUUUCGUUCAUGUCUGAAAUUCUCGUCAGACUAAGCAGUCUCUGUUCAUCAUAAUGUUAGGGCAUCUUAGAAUCUUUAAUAAAUUUUGGGCCUGUGUACAGAGUUGUAGAGGACUUAAAUAUCUUUCUUUGGAUGCCAAGAACUCUGUCAUAGCAGUUAUAGUUUGUGAGGUAUCGAGUUUUCAAUCUGACUGUUUUCCAGUGAUGAUAAUCUAGACAGUUUUGGAUUUAAGCAGUUUUUGACCCUGAUAAUGAAAUAAUUAGGUCUUUGAUUAUUAACAAAAGUUUUAGUAUUUUUGUUAAGAUUUCUAGAUUGGUAAAGUUUGUAACAUUUGAAUAAGUAUAUCUCCAGUAUGAAUUUUUGAAAUUUGAUGUUCUGUUUUGAAGGUCAGAAAUAUUUAGUUGUGUUCUAUGGUUAAUUAUACCAUCUUGCAGACCUCUGAUGCAAAACCUUUCAAUACAAAAGUUGUAUAUAACAGAGUUUUACAUGAUCUGACAAAUUGUGGUAAUUUUUGGAUGAAUAUUCUGUAGUAUAUGAAAAAGAGAAGAGUCAGUGCUGUUGUCUUGAUCGGUAGCGCAAACGGUAGAGGCUUGAAUGUCGGGUUUGGGGCGCUUUAGUUUGUAUUUGUUCUUACUUUUGCUUGUAUGUUGGUGUAUGUACUGAGUAGUAUUUGUGAUCAGAUGGUAGCACUUCGGAACAUCGCUAGUGCUUUUGUUCUCUUUCGGUAAAGAGGCAAGUGAAUGUAGCGGUGGUUUGCUACCGUUUUGGCUUGUUAUUUUUAUCACCUACAGUUUAUUGUCUAUAAGAAUGUCAUCCCUCUCAUAUCUAAAAUUCAUAAUUUGGGUAUAUUUAAUCUUAGUUAAAUUGUGGUAUUAUUUAAGUACUUAUGAUGAUGGUAUUAUUUUACAUUGUUAUUUGUGGCUAGCCCACAAACCUGAAUUUGAAGUCGGAGUAUUAUUGGUGAUUUAUUAAUUUUAUUGCAACAUGCCAAGUGCAUUUCAUCAUUCAUUGGCAUUGGAAGUUAUGUCAUGACCUAUGGUCAUGACUGUACUGGUACGCAUCAUGGGAUGCAGCUCCACACCUUGUUGGGUGUGCAGGCAGGAGACAUAUGCAUUGCAUUCAUAUGCAUUCAUGAGAAGUAUGUUAUUGAAGGGAUUUUAUCCACAUUAUUAUGAAGCUCUGUAUUAUUGGCUAUAAUCUAAAUUGGAAGACUGUUACUUUAAUAUGAUAUUAUGUCAAUUGGGAACACCAUACUAAAUUGAUGAUAAUUCAAAUUGUGGUUUAAAUAGUUUGUCAAAACAAGUUCGCUUGCUGAGAUGUUUCAUCUCACCCUUGCUUUACUCAAUCCAGGUACUUGAUGCUUACUUAGAAGGGAAGGGAAUUAGCUGCACGUCACACACUUCUUCAUUUAGAGACCAUGUGUUUUAAUAAAUAAUAAUUUGGUUUGCUUAUUGGUUUUUAUGGUGGUUGUUAAAGUGUGGAUGUUAAACUUAAUUCUUGUUGAAGUAACUUAUUUGUGUUAGGAUGUUCAUUAAUCCUAGUUUGGUAUUUCAGUUAUUUUUAUAUUUUAUUCUUCCGCUUGCUAUAAAUACAAAGAAGAUGCUGCCAAAUUGUUUAUUGGUUGUGUGCGGCUGUUGUUUGUGUAGUCUAGUAGCAUUUCGGUGUAUUUGUGGUUUUUGGGGUGUUACAUCCUGUCUCCCUCCCACCGAGCCUCGGUGGGAUUCGACAAUUUUGAGAAAAUGAAACACAUAUUUUCUAUUAUGCCGGUGGAAAGUAUAGAGAACUUACGGGAAACACUCAUUGGGCGCUGGUGUUGGCAGCAUCGGUCGCCGCACCAGAUGCGCUCUGAGCAUCCGGUGAGUGGUACUUGCUGGGGUGUACACACCGGACCCAUGCAUAGUAACAUGAGUGAGUCUGGUAAUGUGUGUUUGGUGUUUCGCUGCAGAAGCGCUCGUGGCAUCAGACGUAGGAGAGCAUCCGGUGGCCCGCGUCCGGUGACCAAGCGUCAAAAACACCCUCUCCGGUGACUUAACCGUGUCUGGUGGUUUGAAAGUGACCAUUAAAGAUCGAUGCAUGAGAUUCAAAAGUUUGACAUGUGGCUAACUUCUAAGCACCGAACAUAGGGUUUGAGCAUCUGAUGGCUGACCUUCUGCAUUCCUGGUGCCCCCGAGUUUUUUCUAGUGAAAGAGCCAACAUCUCUUUUUGUUGAGGGGACUUAUAAAUAGAAGGUGGAUGGAAUUGGGGAGUUCACUCUUGCACUUUUGAUUGCUUGAGACAUAAUGAGCUAGAGAACACUCCCUCCACUCAUCUCCUUGCUUGAUUGCCAAUCCUAGUGAGAUUGAGUGAGAUUCAAGUGCAUUGCUUAGUGAGUUGAAUCAAGUGGCACUUGAUCCUUGAGUUUGCUGCAGAUUUCUUGUUACUAUUGGGUGUUUCCCGAUGCCCUAGAUGGCUUGGAGCAGCAAAGGUGUUGAGCUCGUGAUUGGAGAUUAUUUCAAGCCUCACCAAGUUAUUUGUGAGGGGUUCUUGAGCCUUCUCUAUGGGAGAUUGUAAUUGGCUACACUAUUGCAUUACUCGUGGCUUGGAGGAUCCCCAUAUUGUGAGUGGAUGUGCGGCACCUGCUAAGGGGUUGGCUUUGGAUUGCUAAUUAGCUCGUGAUCCAUCAAGUGGGUGUAUCGCCACAACAAGGACUAGCUUGCCAGGAAGCAAGUGAACCUUGGUAAAAAUUCUUGUGUAAUCUCUUACCGAGGAUUCUCUUUGUGAUUGUGAUUGUGAUUGUGAGUGAUGGAUUGGUUAUAUAUCUACUCAACUAUGGUGGUAUAUCAAUCACUCCCCACUCCUUUACUUACUUGCAUACCUUGCUAGUUGUUUAGCUUGUUUAGCUUAGUCUUCUUGUCUAGGAGAGUAGCUAGCUUUUAGCUAUGCUUUCUUGUUGUAACUUAGUGUUUAGCUUUCUUGCUAAACUUGUGUAGGUGGCUUGCAUAGCUUAGUUGUGCUAGUGCUAGAAUAGCUUCACCAUUUAUUUUACUAACACACUUGUCUAGUUGAGUUUGUAGAAUUUUAAAUAGGCUAUUCACCCCCCUCUAGCCAUUUGGACCUUUCAAGUGGUAUUAGAGCCAAGGCACCAUUAUUUGAGGCUUAACAAUCUUUGGUGAAGAAAUGGCACUUAGUUUGCAUAUCAACAACACCAAGAAGGCACCUUACUUUGAUGGCACCAAUUAUGCAUAUUGGAAGGUCAAGAUAACCACACAUCUUAAGUCAAUCAAUAGAGAGGUUUGGAAGGUGACCGAAAUAAAGUUUGAGGUUGCAAAUGAGAAUGCACCAACAUCGGUUGAAGAGAAGAAGCUACAAUGCAAUGAUAUUACCAUUAGUGCUCUCCAUGAAGCUCUUGAUGACAAAACCUUUGAGCAAAUCAAGAACAUUGAAUUUGCUCAUGAUGCAUGUGCAAAGCUAGAAGAAACAUUUGAGGGCACCAAAGACACCAAGACCGCCAAAUCAUACAUACUCCAAGAAAAAUUCUCAAGCUUCAAGAUGCAAGAAGAUGAAAGUGUGCCAGAGAUGUUCCACCAAUUGCAAGUGAUUGUAAAUGAGCUUAAGGCACUUGGUGAAGAAGUGAAAGAUAGUCAAUUCUCUAUGAAGUUCUUGAGAAGCUUGCCCAAGAGAUUUGACACACUGAUCACCAUAGUAGUGAAGACAACACUUAGUGAAUCAACACAUCAACAAGUGUUCCAAGAGGUGAUGACCGAUGAUGCUUAUAGAGAAGAUGAUUAGAAGGAUGAGUUGAUCAAGAAAAAGAAGAAGGAUGGUGAGAAGAAGGAUGAUGAGAAGAAGAAAAGUGUGGCAUUCAAGGCCUCUGUUGACACUAGCUAACACCACUUAGAUACUAGGUUGUCAUCCCUAGCAUGGCGCCAGAGUGUACAAAGGUAUUUAUAAAUGUAAAGGCUCUCUAGAAAAUAAUCUAUUCUAUCCGCAAGCGCACAGAUAAAACACCUCAUUGUAGCAUUUCACCAGGAUAAGUAUUCCAGGUAUCGUUAUUUAUAAUUUUGCUCAAGAGAACUAAGGAAGAUGGAAUUAAAUCAAGGGACAAAAUCUAUCAAGGCAUAGACUAGAGAUAAACUUGUAAGAACAUGAUUACUAAUGAGAAACUCGUCGCACAGUCACUUACUUUAGCAGGGGGUAAACCAUAAAGAUAAUGAUGAUAAAGUAUCAGUUCAUGGGAUAAAAAGCACAGCGAUUAGAAAAUAGACUACUCCUUAUAUAUGUAGGUGAUGUCGGAUUAGCUGGAGAAUGGAUUCUAAGUUAUCUACUAACUACUAAGUCAUAAUCUACUCUAGUUAUCUACAAGAUCAUAUAUAGCAUAAAAGACUCUUCAUUCAUGUAUAAGGAACAUUGAUAAAGUAAAUCAGAGCAUCGCAUGACUUACUCCACAAUACCGGUUCUGCCUGUCCUAUCAACGGAGGGUGGACUAUAUAAGAAUCAACGAAGCUGUCACUAUCGCGAACUACCACACGACUCGGCCAAUAGGAUACAUUUGCAGAUAAAUAACAUCUAAGCACCACGCUCACAUGUGAUCUAUCACCUAACUCCCUCGCGACAAGAGCUAAGCGCUUUGCAAACUUAUACAUGAACUCAUUAUCAAUUAGAACUAUAUCAAAUAUAGAACUAGAGCAAACUAAGAACAUAAUAAUUAAAGACAUAAUGCAAUUAGAACAAUAGAAUUAGAGAAAGAUAUGAAUAAUACCAAUCUUUAUUACCGAAGAUCCGAAUCCAGAGCGUAGUGCUCUACUUCUCUAAUUGCUAUCUAAUCAACCUCUAAACUUGAAGGAUUAGGGAGUAGCUAAUUCUAAUUCUCUGUGGGAGAGAGAUCUAAACCCUAACUUUGAUGGCUACCUCUGAAUAAUGAUUUCUCCUCCUCUGCUCCAGGGGCCAGGGGGUCUGGUUUUAUAGUCCCCUCAAGUGAACGUGAGCCAUUGGAUCAAACCGACAUAGAUUGUAUGGUUUAGAUUGAUCCUUUAGGUCGGUGGAGAGUUGUCCAGAGAGAGAGUCCUGAUCCAACUCCUGGCCAGGGCGGGCGCCCAAGGGGGGUGGGCGGCCGCCCAGCUCCCGAGCCCGAUUCGCGUCCCGUUCGUUCCCGUGGCUUCUGGAUCCUUCUAGAUUGAGGAAAAUUGCGCGGCACGUAAUUAUCUUGUUGUAAACAUGACAUGUGGGCCUUCUCUCCCUAUUUUCUGAUAAACCCCUGCAGAAAUAGAUAAACACCAAAGCUCGUGGAAUUCUGUCAGAUAAAACCCCUAUUCUAGAUGUUUGUUUCAUAUUGAUCCUUUUUCAUGUUUAUUUGAUUAUUAAUUUUAGUACUUAAGGACCGUCAACAAACUCCCCCAAGCUUACCCUUUGCUUGUCCCUGAGCAAAUAGCUAAACUCAGACGGAUCAGGAGUUGCUUCGAUGUUUUCUUUCCUGACAGGCACACAUGCUUUUACAUAAAAAUUCUUCCAGAUUAGAGUGAAGUGUUAUGGAGUUUAGUACCUGCACUUAAAUCUUAAGUAAUCGAAAAACAAAAUAGUUAAGUCAAGCACUAUCCCUCUUGUCUAUACUUCACCUUUGUUCUAGAGUUUUUCAUAAGUUUUCAAAAUAAAAUUCAGAGUUCCCAGCAAUGAUUCUCUCAGGUCUCUCUAUAUGUGGUAUUUGUGGAUCCUUACCAUAAUGUCACCUACCUAUAGCUAAUGGAAUAUUUAAGUGGAGCUCAUAGGAGUGGAAAACAGCUCAUACAUAUGUUGUCUAAUCGAGCCAUGGAUCCAAAGGAACUCAGCAUAUAAUUAAAUCAAGAUGUGCAUGUGUGGUGGAGUAAAUGAUAGUGAUGGUGAAAAUGCGAUAGUGUUAAUAAAUCUUAGUUCUCAUUGCUCCUCAUAUUGCUAUCUCUCCUCUUCUUUUAUCUUUGCCUUGGGAGAACAUGGGCUAUCUUUUCUCUCUCUCUUUUUUUUUCAGGUGGGUAAUAGAUACCCCUAAUUCUACUGUCGGACACUUGUCCAUUUUUACCUCUCAAGUGGGCAUCUUUGUACCCCUAAUUCUACUUCGGACACUUGUCCAUUUUUACCUCUCGUCUCACUCUUUUUUUUUCGAGGUUCCCGGGCACUUGCCCAUUUUUAUUUCCUCGUAUAUAUUUUUGCAUAACCCAUGCCUCUUCUGCAUUGAAUCUUUUUAGAGAGAGAGAAUAACAAUAUUCGGGACAGUGAGUGAUAAUAUUUUUAGCAAUAUUAAUGAUUGGUGAUGAAUGUUGUGGUAGAUGUGUGCAAGUGAAUAUCUUAAUUUAACCACAUGAAAAGCUCCUAAGGGUCAACACAGCUCGAUCAAACUCAAUGUAAAUAUAGUAAAAGAUGUUAUAGCAAGUAUGGCUGUGGUAGGUAGUUUGUUAUGCUAGGAACUCAUCAUGUGAUUUGUGAGUUUUCAAAAUAAAUCUCCAGAACUUAGUGUAGUAGGAACAAGAUAAACAGCAGCUCAACUUUAUAUCAUGCCUUUCUCUUACCUAGACUUUAGUUUUAUGCUUUCCAAAGAUAGUAAUUUCAGUUUUAGUAAUUCCCGGAAGAAUUCUAAUAUAAAAGCUAGGUACUUGUAAGUAAGCAAACAGAGCAACUAUUCAUCAUUUCCAUCAUGCAUCUUUUUGGUCUUUUUAUUUUUUUAGAGAUUAAACUUAGCAGAAAAAUAAAGCACACUUAUCUACACACUCUUUUUAUUUUGUUUUCAUGUUUAUUAAGUGCAGUAGAUUAAAGCAAGAAAAUAUUUAUUUGGUUUUCUAAGUUUUCCUUUUAAGAUAAAUAAAAUACUAAGACAAAAUAGAAUAAAUAAGAAGAGCAAAUAAAAACUUACUUGAUAAAUUUGGGAGGAACUCCCCCAAGCUGGAUGUUGACGUCGGUCUUACCCGAUGUUCCAGAACCGCAUCAUGGUUGUGAUGUUGUCGUUCAUUGUUGUUCUAUCUUGUCUCAGUUCUUGUACUGCAGCGGCAUGGUCCUGGUUUCAUUUUUGUUGCUCUUCCAGGAGUCUUCCAUGUUCUGCUUGCGUGUUCUGGAUGUCGAGGAGGGUGUUGUCGGUACGAGUGAAGAAAGCACCGGCCUCUUGAUAGUAGUCAUUCGUGAAGGCGUAGGAGGCGUCGGAGUAUCGUCCUGCAUCAAAUUGGGUUGGAGGUCUGGAUCCUGAAGCUCCAUAUGGAUCAGUGGAGUACCUGCCCGUAUGAAAAGGCGGGUUUGUCCACUGGUGAUCUUGGCUCUCCGGCCAUGUCUCCUCUGUUGGCUCUUGUGGUUGCGCAUGACGAGCCCAUGGGUCUCGAAGGACUCGUGGAUUGUAAUCGCAAUAAUGCAGGUGCGCUGCUUCUUCUGGUCCAGGGUCAGCUCCAUACCAAGUGCGUUCUCGGUGAGUGGUUAUCCUUUCAGAUGCCACUCGCUGUGGAGUUCUCUGGUUCACUGGUGUUGCUGCAAUCUCAAUCAGUUUUGCACAGAGUAGAGGCCAAGGUUCGGGUUAGGUAACCGAAUCUUGCCUUUAUCAUCAUAUAGCAUAUACAUUAUAUUCCCCUCUUUUUUUAACAUCCGAGCUUGUCUAAAUGUGUCAUAGCCAUGAUAAAUUCUUAAUUCUUCUAUGAAGUCCAAUGAUGAGUUUUCUAGUAAGUGAAGAUUAGUGGCUAGACGAGUGAUAAGUGAAGUACAUCCUACUGGUCCCUGAAGACUAGGUAUACUAAGCCAAUGUGAAACUAAUAGUGUAACAGGUGAAGUGGGUACUUUACUAAUAGCAGCAUAUAAAAGUUGUAAAUCUCCUACUCUUACUUUCCUAAUAUCGUCACGAUAGAAAAGAUUGUACCCAAGCCAUUUGUGGAACAUCCUAAGAGUGGGGUGUUCCAUGUCACUGGUUCGGGCUUGACUAUAAAAAUUAUCUCUAGAUAUUUCUCUCCAAAACUGGUGUCUCUCAAAAUUGGGUAAAUCGGAGUCAAUGUUCAGGAUGCAUCUUGAAGAGAAACCAAGAUGGUCGCUCAGCUCUCUCCAAGAUAACAUAAUUUCCUGUUUAAACAUCCGAAAAACAAUUCCCCCCUCAUAGUAUUGUAAGGUGCAAAGAAAUUCAAGGGUGAGAAGACGAGAACCCAGCUCAGUUAUAUUCCAAAAAUUUGUCCAACCCAUCAUCUGAAAAAUUAAGUCAAAUUCAGUGUCCAUACCUGUUUCUCGUAGUAGGAUUGGAUCGAGAGUAGGGGUGUGAAUGAAAUCUUUAUUCUUCAAUUGCUGAUAGACUUCCUUCUCUCUUCGGGUCUUCAGUCCUAGGUCUCCUAUCUUGAGAAGGACCUUAACUUGCUGACCUGAUGAAGAUGACGGAGCUUGUGUGGGUGUCGGGUCGACGCUCAUCUCUGAUGGUUGUGAGGAGUGUCGGGAUGAACUCCUUGUACCAAUGUUCUUGAUAGCCUUCCCUACAUUCUUUACCUUCUUAAACAUCCUGCAAACAAAAGUUGGCAAAAACACAACUGGUGGAAAAUGUGAGACAAAAUGUUAGUGGUCAGCUGUCCGGAGUAUCAGUAGUCCAGGGAUUAAUCGUUCAAGACAAGUUUCUAUUUUGGUAGAGCCUCCCCCCUAAACAACUUUUACUUCCGCUUGGACAGCGGGAUCACUAUUUGCUAGGUGAUAAUCACUUUCUCAAAAGAACUCCAACCUUCCCUUCCACUCUCCUCUUUCUCUCUACUCUAUUCUCUUCACUACAAAAGCACCUUCUCGGGAAACUGAGAUUUGUGUGGUUUUCUAAAGUGUUUGUGUGAAGAGAAGGGAGCUUAAGGUGGCCUUUUAUAGGCUGAGCAGGGGACAGGGCGGGCGCCCAAGGUAGGUGGGCGGGCGCCCACUUGUGGUGUCCAUCCUGGGUGUGCCUCCUCCACAUGCUUCCUUGCUUUGAUCUCACGCAGAAUAAUAUUGUGUUGGUAGUGGUUGGACGGUGGAAAGAUGUCAAGUGAGUGGAAACAUAUUGGUGGAUGAAAUUAUGUGAUGGGAUGUAUGUGAGGUGAAGUGUAUGACAUGUGGGACCCAAAGAGUGUGGGUCAUGCUUCUAGAGUAUCAAUAUAAAUAAAUAUAAUGCAGGAAAAUCUAUGAGAAUUGAAACUUAAUGAUAUUGGAAAAUAUUUUUUGUGCCUCCACAAUAAUUAAUAGAUAUGGGUUGUUACACACCACGAAUAUUAUUUAUAUGGGGCUUUUUGAUUAUUAUAAUUAUGCUAUGACUAAUGCAAGAAUUAAUUAUGCAAGAAUUUAAAUAUGAGAAAAUUAAUAAUGCGGAUAAAUACCGAUUUACCUCCCGGUGAGGGUUUGGGAUUUUUAGGUCCCCCAAGCUGGACCUCCAAAUCUUUUAAUCUUCUGAGUUUCCUUCCUCUAGAGAUUGUGUCUCCAGUGGUUCUUUAUGAACUUCAUUUACUGUAGAGUCUCUCUCUGGUCUGGGUUUGAAUGUGAAGUGUUCUUGUUGACCGUUUAUGUUGAACUUGAUUUCUCCUUUCCCGACAUCAAUGUGGGCAUUAGCAGUGCUUAGAAAUGGUCUUCCAAGGAUGAUGGACACUUUCGAGUCAGGACUCAUGUCCAGUACUACGAAGUCUACUGGCACCAGGAAAUCUCUGAUCUUGACUGGAAUGUUCUCGGCGAUGCCCAACGGGUGUCGAACCGAUUGAUCCGCUAGUUGUAGGCACAUUGAUGUUGGUUCUAAGGUUGCAUGCUCAAGCUUUUUGUAGACUGAUGCUGGCAUCACACUGACACUUGCUCCGAGAUCACAAAGUGCAUUGUUGAAGUGUUGGUUUCCAAUCGAGCAAUCAAUAGUGGGACAUCCUGGAUCUUCCUUCUUCUUUGGUGGUUUAUUGAGGAUGGCCGCACUACAUUCUUCCGUCAGCUUGAUAACCUCAGUGGUGGGCAGUGGUCUCUUCUUGUUAAGAAUAUCUCUGAUGUACUUUGCAUAUGUAGGUACCUGUAUGGCAUCGAGCAGAGGUAUGUUGACAUAUAAUUUCUGAAUGACCUCUACAAACUUACCAAACUGCUCAUCCGACUGCAGUCCUCUGUUUCUUCUGGGAAAUGGCAAAUAGUUGGUGUCGUAAAAAUCUUUCCUCAUUUCUCCAGUUCUUGGUGGUUGGAGCAGAUCUUCUGCUUCAACUGGGCUUUCUUCUUCUAUUACUGCUGGUUGCACUGGUGCUGAUGUUCUUUGUUUCUCUUUUGGGUAUGGUGGAUCUCUGGUGGCUUUGCCUCCUCUAGUAGUUAUAUUCUUUACCUUUGCUAUUGGGUUGACUCAAAGUUGGUUGAUAUUUGUAUGCUGUCUCAAUGGCCCUUUGAUCUUCUUUGAACUUGGCCCUCUGGUCAAUCCAAUGGAGCAAAUUUUCCAUCUUAGUUGAUAAUGCAUUUACCUCUUCUGGUAUUUCUUCAGUUUGAUGACAAUGUUGAGCUUUAUCUUGGAACCAGCUUUGGUUUUCUGCUAUCUUAUCCAAAAGUAUCUCUGCUUUUCCUGUUGUAAGCUCCAAGAAUGAUCCUUUAGCAGAUGCAUCUAGGCACUCACGAGCCUUCUGGGUUAAUCCAUGGUAGAAGGUCUGCAUAAGUAACCAUGUGGCCAUUCCAUGGUGAGGACAAUCUGAUAUGUAUCCUUGAAAACGCUCCCAUGCUUCUGAAAUGGCUUCUGUCUUCUGCUGUUGGAAACUGACAAUAUUUCCUCUUAAGGCAGUUGUUUUGCCUAUAGGGAAAAACUUUGAUAGAAAGGCAUCUGACAAGUUCGUCCAGUUGUUGAUGUUAUGUUGAUGAGUGUAGAACCACUUCCUUGUUGAUAUUUGGUAACGCAAUUAGACAAUGAUCCGCAAGCGCACGGAUAUCGGUGAGCAUUUCACCCGGGAGGUUUUCCAGAGUAUCGUAUUUAUAUUUUUACCACUGGGAGAAAGGGUGCAUCUGACUAACCAAAUCUAUUGCUACUAUCCCUUUAGGCUACAAAGAAUGUCUCUCGAUGUGAGUGAUGUAUAGAGAAGACUGCAACCGUAGUCUCGUUCUAACCUUGGUAAGGAUGAUCUACUGUUCUAUUGGGCAGGCUCACGGAAUCUAGACAACACAAAGGAUGUUCGACCCGCACCUAUAACCCUACCCGUCCUGCUAACAAGAUGUGAUCUACAAAGGUAACUUGGAAAUGUCACGUUCUUCGCUACUACCACGAUCCAGCUAGUCAGGGGAUAUCUAUGAGUACCCUAGCCUAAACACCACGUUUAUGCUAACAAGUGAUUACUCUAAUACUCAACCGGAAGAGGAUUAAAGUAAACUCAUAAACCAAAGAACAAUAAAACAAGAACUUACUAGUAUUAGAAGUCGAAUUACUGAAGAAUCUUAGAAGCAAGCCUCGGGUUAGGAGACUUGAUCCCGUAGGUACAACUCGGAGUAGACACCGACAGGUCGGCCUUCCUCCGAUCCACACCUCCACUCUAUCUCUCUCAAUCUAGUAGAAACUAGAAGAUCUAUUUCUACCUUACAUUGGUUGCUAAGCCUAAAAAGAAAUAUUAUUUAGAGAAGAGGUUUUCCUUCGAGGGCACCCCUCAAUCUCUAUGAUAAUUUCUUGUCUCCUCCAGGGGCCAGAGGGGGUCUCCUUAUAUAGUCCUCCCCUUCUAUGCGUUUUUGGGUCGAUAGGCGAGGUGGUACUAUGUUAUUCUGGAUCCAAUAGGUCGGUGGAACGUCGUGUGCGAAGAGAGUUCGGAACGGAGUCCAGAGGGGGGCGGGCGCCCUGGGCCUGGCCCCUUUCGGGCUCCGCUUCCUUCCCGUGGCUUCUGGAGUCUUCUAGAUAGUAGAAAAUUGCGCGGUGGGUUGAUAUCUCUAUGUAAUCCCGAAAUGUGGGCCUUUCUUCCUUAUUUCCUGAUAACCCCCUGCAGAAAUAGACAAACACCAAAACUCGUGGAAUUAUGUCAGAUAAAACCCUAAGUCUAGAUGUUGAUUUCAUUUGGAUCCUUUUCUUUGUUUAUUUGAUAAUUAAAUUUGAUACUUAAGGACCGUCAACAAACUCCCCCAAGCUGACCUCUUGCUCGUCCCUGAGCAAGGAUGAACUCAAGAGUUUCUGCAGUGGUUUCAUUUCUUAGAAGUACACACGCAUUUAAGCAAGAUCUCAUCUCUGAGUUAGAAUAAACUGUUAAGACUUAAAACUUACUUACUUUACCUACACCAUAGGACUUGUAACCGUCACUUCUGUCUUGAGUGGUUAAAAGAUAGAACAGUCUAGCCAAGUGUCAUGUCUCUUAUUCUUGAUCAGCUAUAGCUCUGGGGUUUUUGCAGAUUUUUAAAUAAAACUCAGAAAUUCCUUGUAUGAUUCUCUCAGGUCUCUCUUAUGUGGUAUUUUUGGAUCCUUACCAAGGCAGUGAUGGUAUAUGCCUUCUCUCAAGAUAUGUAGUAUUUGUGGUAUGAAGCAUAGUGACAUUGUCUUCUCUCUCACCCUACUCCAAUAAGGCUUUAAUAUCUGGAGCUCAUAGGUGGGAGAUAAAGUAUACAUACUUACAAGACAUUUAUUGCAUAGUCAAACCAUGGAUCCAAAGAAACAAAUCAAUAAGCCAAAUCAAGAUGUGCAUGUGUGGCGAAUGAAUGGUGUAUGGUGAUGAUGGUGAUAACAAUGGUGAAAACAAUGGUGGUGGAAGUCUAAUUCUACUUUUGCUCUUUGAGGGGAUACAUACCUUCCUUGCUUUUGAAACUUUAUGAGGAGAAUGAGAUGCUCUUCUUUUUCUUUUCUCUCAAGUGGGUAUCUUGCACCCCUAAUUCUACUGUCGGACACUUGUCCAUUUUUACCUCUCGUCUCACUUUUUCUUUUUCUUUCGAGGUUCCGAGCACUUGCUCCCUUUUAUUUCCUCGUAUUUAAUAUUUUUUUUCUUUCUUUUUUUUUAAGCACUCAUCUCUUGAGAUAAUAUAGCAAGUGGUAGUAACAAGAUAACUUGAGCAUUUAUUUCACAAAGGGAAACAGAAAUAUUUUUGGUUAUUCUCUCCCGGAUUAGGAGUAGAAUAUUUUUGGGUGAUUCUAGAGAUGGAAUGGGUGAAUAUAUGUGGAUGGUACUUCCGGAGUAGAAGUAGCAUAUAUGAGUGAACGUGCAAGUGAAAUCUUGAUUUAACCACAUGACAAGUUCCUAAGGGUCUACACAGCUUGACUACACUCAAUGCUCAUAAGCAGUAAAUAGUAAAUGUGUGGCUCAAAGUCUAGCAAGCAUGUAUAUAUGGCUGUGGUAGGAAUUUAAACUCUCAUCAUACAGGAACUCAUCAUGCAACAUUUUAAAGAUUUUCAAAGAUAAAAUUCUCUAGAAUUCUAGCAUCUCAAGGAACAGAUAAACAACAGCUCAACCUUCCCAUAUCAUAUCCGUUAACGACUUAGACUUUAGAUCAAGUACUCUUCCCACAAGUUUAGGUUUAGAGCAAGCUUUAAAUUAUAACAGUUAUGCCUAAACUUGAGAGAGAUUUCAAUUUUAAGAACUAGUCAUGGCAGAGCAACUAUUCAUCAUUUCCAUGAGAGAGCUUAUCAUGAGGGUUCAUAGCAAAUUUUAUUUAUUUAUUUAUUUAGCAAACUAAGCAAAGAUAUAUAUAUAAAAGCACAAAAUCUUUAUUUGGGUUUUUCAUAGUUUAUGUAUUUUAAUAUUCUAACAUAAUAUAAGUAUAAAGAUAGGUAGAAAUACUUAGCGAGAUAAAUGGGGGUGCUCUCCCCCAAGCUGAAUUUUGACGUAAUUUCUUCUGAUGUAGCUAGCAGGUGAUGGAGGUGUAUUUGAAAGUCGACAGCACCCCGACAGCGAUUAGGAUGUCCUCCGUCUGCUAGUCUUCUUUGAUCCUUGAAUUCUGUGGAGCUCAAAUAGACAACAAAGCUUUGUGGAACUGGUUAAGUGUUAGCAUAAAUAUCUAACCUUUAUCAUGUUGAGCCUCCUCAAUAUUACUUAUUUAGCAGGAUCAUGCACUUAUUAUUUUUAUAUUUUUAUUGUAAGAUGAAAACUUAUUUAUUUUAUUUUCAUGCCACCACAGUGAAUGUACUUAUGGGUUUUAUGCCAUGAGCAUACUCACAUGAGGCUUACUAUUUUUUAACAUUUAUUUUCUUUUCAAGAUAGCAUGAACCUGAUUAACUAAGCAAACUAUUGAAUGGAAAAGGAUAACUACCAAGUUUACCUCUUGGCAAGGCGUUCGGUAUUUUUAAGUCCUCCGAACGGGACUUUCCGUUUUCUUAGUCGUCCUAGGAUUCGCUAGGUGGCGUAGUCGGUGAUUCCGGCGGCGCCUCUUCGUCGUGUAUAACUAUCUUCUCUCUCCACACCUGACUCGGUGCUACGGUCUCCUCAGGACAGUUCUGUUCAAGCCGUAUGUGUUCAGACCUUAUCACUUCUCCUUCGUAGUCUACUCAUCCGUCCUUGAUGAUCUGCCUCCUCUGGUUGCGGUUGUGUUGCCUUCUUCUUGUCGUGACCUACUUAGAAUCUUCAACUAUAUAGUUAGAAUCAUUAAAGUAGUGGCGUACCUUCUCAGAGAGGAAGUGCAUGUGGACUUCUCCGGUUCCAAUAUAUAUGAUGGCUUUGAUAGUGUUGAGGAACGGUCUUCCAAGGAUGGUGGGUGGAUCAUACUCGUCUUCUGCCAUGUCAAUGACCUGAAAAUUUUCUGGAGCUGAAUGUAUGCUGGUUGUAGGAGCAUGGUUCCAUGCAGGAGCUGAUAAGUGACUGCGGCCAUUAUGUUGACAUCAGAUCUAGUGUCGUAGAGUGUCUUCUAAAAAGAGUAUCUGUUUAUUGUGCACUCAAUACUUGGAACACCAGGGUUGUCCUUCUUGAUCAGGAAUGGCGACUUGAGUCGAUGAUUUUGACCUCCUCUGAACUGCAGUGACCAUCUUAGCUGACUCGGUCCAUAUUUGCUUAUUCCUGUUCCUCCUGUUGGUCCUCUUCCUUGGUUCAUGUCGGGAUUGCUCUGAAAUUUGUGUAGUCUUGUUCUUGAAGGAAAGUCUCCUUCUUCCCCUUGAUGUAGAGACUGAUCUUUGCAGCAUUAGCAUAGAUGACAGCUUUGGUGUUUAGGAUUGGCCUCCCUAAGAUGAUGAGUGCUCUCUCCUCACUACCAGUCUCUAUCACCACGAAGUUUGCUGGAGUGUACAAGGUACCAACUCGGACACAGAGGUUCUUCAAUAUUCCUUUGGGAAACUAAGUGUCUGAUCUCCAUUGUGUUUGUGCUCGUAGAUCUCGGUUCUUCACUUGAUGGAAUCUGAGAGUUGUAAAACGCCUUCACGUUUCUCAAAAUGUGUCCUGCUCAUAGAGACAAGGCAGAGAUCAAGUGCAUGGGCCCUGUUGGUAGAAAACACCAACAGAACCAAAAGUGUAUUUGUUCUUCUCUAACCUUAAGCAUAGUGAGCAAGACAAAGUUGAUGGAUCAUGAGUGUAGCAUUUAAAACAUUUGUUAGAUCAGAUGGCUCAACCUAAUGGAAAGAUAAUCUAUCUAUAUUUAUGUUUUGUUUAUAUCUUCCAAAGAUUGAAUGUGCAAUACUUUAGCUUAUAUGAUUAUGAGUGUGGGGUCACGAAGGUAGUACUAAGAACAAAGAUUAAAGGACUAAACAUGUUGAAUUAAUUGAGUUGGAUAAUUUGGAGUUAUAAAUCAUACAUGUUUGUCUCUUUAUUUAUGUGAAUGCUAGAAUCAAGG